This 53019-nucleotide long non-coding RNA is filed under the name Ananas comosus (pineapple). Its description in RNAcentral is "long non-coding RNA (ACOM_LNC014379)". The record is from RNAcentral. Lineage: Eukaryota; Viridiplantae; Streptophyta; Magnoliopsida; Poales; Bromeliaceae.
UAUGCCACGUCUAUUGUUACAACCAUCAAAUUAUGUAUUUGGUUCUUGGGAAGGAGAUGCGCCUCGGAAUAGGGAGGAGAGAGAAAGGAAAAAUAGAAAAAUUAGAUUUUAGGCUAGACAGAAGAGACAAAAAAAACAGACGUGGAAGCUUAAAAUUAUGCCACGUCUAUUGUUACAACCAUUAAAUUAUGUAUUUGUAUGGAUUAUGUUGAAGGUGAUGGAAAAGGUCUGCUGUGACAACUACCUAACUAUGUAGGCAAUAAUGCUUAGAACUGAUGAUUUUUCAAUGUAAAUGAACUUAAUUAUGAUUCAACAUCCAAAGCCUAGAUUAAUAUAGAAGAUUCUGGCACUUUACAGUCAUUAUAACUCCAUGAAAUCAUAAAUCCAAGUAAUAAUUAAGAAGAGUAGUACUUCUGAUAAGGGUCUUCAUAGUUGGUAUAUGUGAAUAUUAGACAUAAUAUCCAGUGCUCUUUGUUUGACUGUUUAGCAGAAAAGCAAAUAAUGUAAUUCAAGAGGAAAUAAAAACCAAAAAAAAAACGAAAAAGAAAUGUAAGGCCCCGUUUGGUUGAGGGGAUAAGCGGGGAUAACGAAAGUUAUCCCCGCUAUUCCGCCAAACAGAAUCAUUUUUUACCGGGAUAUUUUAUUCCGGUCAAAGCUUGCUAUUCCCGGUUAUCCCGGAAUAGCAAGCUUUUUACUAUUCCACCAUUUUGGUGGAAUAGUGCUAUUCCCAUGCUUAAUUUCAAACUUAAUUAAAAUUAUAAAAUAAAUUAAAACUAAAUUAUAUAAAUAUAAUAUAUUAUAUAUUAUAAUACAUUAUUUUUAUUAUAAAAUUAUUAAUUGUGCUAUAUUAAUACAUAUUAUUUAUAUUUAAAUAUUAUAAUAAAUUUUAUAAUAAAUUAUAUUUAAAUAUUAAAAUAAAUUAAAAUUUAAAAUUUAAAUAAAUUUAAAAUUUAAAAUAUUAUAAUAAAUUAUAUUUAAAAUUUAAAAUUUGUAAUCUCAAAAUUAAAGUUUAUAAUUUUAAAUUCCACAUUUUAAAUUUUAAAUUUAAAUUUUAAAAUUUUAAAUUUUUGAAAUUUUAAAUUUGAUUUUAUUUUUUUUCAAAUUUAAAUUUGAUCUUAAAUUUAAAGUUAGAAAUUUAAAAUUUAAAUUUUGAAUUUAAAAUUUGAGAUUUUAAAUUUUAAAUUUUAAUUUCAAAAUUUGAAAUUUAAAAAUUAAAAUUUUAAAUUUUAAAAUAUAAAUAUAAAAUAUAAAAAUUUAAAUUCUAAUAUAAAUAAAAAAGUGAUAAUAUUAUUAAUUUUUAUUUAUAACUACCCGCUUUAAAUCUUAUUCCAUCUUAUCUAACCAGACGUUAUUUUUCUUAUUCCCAGGAAUAACCCAAUUUUCAUCCAAACGCAAAAUUGAUCUAAUUCCCGCUUAUACCUCAAUUUAUACCUAUUCCUGGAAUACCCACUUUUUGCUUAUCCCCGAACCAAACGAUACCUAAGAGUAUAAAGAAGCAAAAAGACCCCAAUAGUUCUUUUUUUUUUUUUUCUAACCAGUAUUUUCGAAUCAAGUACUCAGAAAACCAAUUCCAUGCAGAAAUCAACGUAAAUUGCGCUACCGUACUUCAAUCUGCUUCUCCAAGUGCUGCAAAUGCUAAUUUAAGAGGGUAUUUGGAUUGAUUAAAUCGUAAUUUGGUUACGGCUCAUGUUUAGUAAGAGUAUAAACAUUAGUUUUGCCAUCCUAAUCCCACCAAGGAUCAAUAUGACUUACAGCCGAAUUACGAUUACGUCAAUCAAUCGGCAAACGCCUGGAGAAGAUUUACAGGACAACCAACACGGUGAAAUUUCCGAAACAUUCUCGGCAAGGAGACGACUUGCGAUCGAAGAGGAGACGUCGGGCUCGCCGCGCGGUACUCGCGCGGAGUGACGCCGCACCACCUGAAGCUCUCGAUGCUCGGAGCGGAGAUCGCGAGCGUCAUCUCCACGUUUACGGCGAAGGCGUUCGUUACGCUCAGCCGUUUGAGCCGGCCGGCGGUGAUGCGGAGAUCCUGCAGUUUACAGCGAUGGAAGUUCGCGAGGGAGAGUUCCUCCAGGAGGGGGCAAUUCACGUCGAGCGAGGGCAGCGGCUGGCACCGCUUCAGCAAGCACGAGCGGAGGCGGGGGCAGGCGGAGGAGACGAAGUCGGCGGCGACGGAGGGGUAGAACCGGAGGCCGACAAGUUCCAAGGUGUCGAGAGAGGGCAGCCGCGCAGAGACAGGCCAGUUGACGGGCAGUGCAUAGCUGGAUGUGGUGAGGCGGAGAAUUCUCAGCGAUGCGAGGUGGAACAGGUCAGCGUUGCGGAGCCAGCGGCUGACGGUGAGGUGGGAGCAGUUGUGGCGGAGGGCGAGGCGGAAGGAGAGGAGGGCGUUGGCGAAGCCGCAGCGGGGGACGUCGAAGUCGUCGAAGUCGAGGUGGAGGGCGGAGGCCCAGAGGUAGCGCCACCGCCGCGAGAGGAGGGCGGUCGCUACGACCGAUUUAGUCGGCAGGUAGGAGAGGAUACGCUCCAGGAGAUGGCACGGGAGAGACGACAGCCCAUCCAUUGUGGCUUUUUUUUCUCCGUUGUUGUCGUCGUCGUCGUCGUCGCGCUCCUCACGAUCAUCUUCAUCUACUUCUCCGUGAUUUUUUUCGUUUUCGUCUUCUUCGGCAUCUUCGACAUUAUCUUUUCCUUCUUCUUCUUCUUCUUCAAUUUUUAGUUUCUUCCUCGGCGAAGGAUUAUGAUCAUGAUCAUGGGCAGGACGAGGACCAGUUGUUUCCAUGGGCGGAAAAGUAGAGAGAAACAAACGCGCUCGAUCUCCUCGUUAGGGUUCUUCCAUAUAUAUUGUAGGAUGUAUAAGAGCAUGUGUGCAGAUUUAAUCCUAGCCGUUUAUCUCAAAUCUUACGACUGGUGCAGUUCUUUUGUUAGGAUCUAAAAUUUAGUGUCGAUUAAUUAAAUAAUAAUAUAGUUUAAGAGAUAAACAACAUAGGGUCAUUAUCUCAAUGCAUGUUCAUUUUCUAAAUACUUUAAAUUUUUAGAUCAAAUCUUGUACUCUCUCUCUCUCUCUCUCUCUCUCUCUCUACGUAUCAUAAAUGCAAAAUUUCUCAAACUUCAAUUAGGGACCGUUUGGUUAUAUGUAAUUAUAAAUACAGUCAUGCAGUUGGAAAUACAACAGUUAUAAUUAUAUAAAUUUUGUUUGGUUGAAUGUAGUAGAAAACAUUGCAAGUAUAAAUAAUUUGUUUGGUUGCAUGCAGUUGAUAAAUAAUUUUUAAAAUUUUAUUAUUUUAUAUAUAUGAUGGUGAGAUUACCUCCAAUGUAAAAAGAAAAAAUAAUUUUUUUUUGAAAAAUAUUAAGGAGGUAAGCAUACCUUUUAUUAAAAGUUACUCUCUCCAACUGUUGUAGUUGGAACUACGGCUAAUUUGGGCGUAGUUUGAACUGCUGCAGUUGGGCCUCCUCCUGCAGUUCCUACUGCAGCAGUUGAAAUUAAAUACAUCAAAUCAAACACGAAAUUUAUAUUUACAUACAGUUACAACUGCAAUACAGCUGUAACUACAUGCAACCAAAGAGUCCCUUAGUGAUCUACAAUUAAGAAGAGUGUAUUGCUUUCAUCCUAAGUAAAGGAUAAUUAUUAUUUUGACAAGUGACAGGAUUUUUAAAUAUUAUAUUGUCACAUUUGCUAGACCAUAUAAUUAUUGUUAGAGCAAUGCUAAUUAUUGUUAACUAAUUUGAUAGUAUUGAAGAAACAAUGAUUUUAAAAAUUCCCCAACUCUAAAAAUAACAUCAUUUUAAUUCAAAUAAACUCCCUCAUAGUUAUACAUAAUCUGAGAAAAUCUCUAUCAUUAUUUUUCACAAUCAUUUUACAGAAUAAAUUACUAUAUUAUAACUUGUAUUGGAAUUAAUAGUCAACUAAUUAUAAGUCACUUAUUGUACGGUAGGCCAUUUACAUCAUGUAAGCUACAAAUUAAAAUCAUUCCAAUAGUAUCCAGCUGUGGAAUAAAAUAAAUGAGACGUGUAAAGAUGAACUUAAUUACGCUAGCUUAAGAUUUAAGCUAUUUUAUUCUUUUUGCAUAUAUAUUGUAAAAAAAGCCUUUAAUUGAUGCUAACAUUGUAACUAAUUUGUUUCAAUAUGAUCUAGUGUAGGUGAAAGGAUAAUUAUACAAUUAAAUGGUGGUUUUAGCCACGUAGUUGUAAACUUUAACUACAUUCUAUUUUGAAACUGCACCAUAAACUUUACUUUGAGUGAUUUAAGUUAAAUAAUUUAGGAAUUUACUUAACCUUGCAAUAAAUUCCCAAAUUUUAAUAAUUUUAAUUUUUUAAUAAAUAUAAAUAAUAAAAUUAGAAAAUCUGAAAAAGGUUAAAUUUAACCAACUAGAAUAAAUCUAAGUCCAAACCCAAUAAAAACUAAAAAGGGAAGGGAAAGGUGAUAGGGUCUAUAUGUAACUCAAUAGAACUGUUUAAAUUAAUUCCAAGUCCUCUACGCGAGUAGCUAUUCUUAUUCCGUUUAAUUCUUAUUAUUAUUAUUCUUAUUCUUAUUCCCCAGUUCGGGGAUAAGUUACCUCGUACGGUAAAAUAUCUCUGAUUAAAUCGAUCAAUCGAUCGCUCUAGAGCUCUCGCGAUCGAUCUCGUUACCAUUUUCGAUCUCUCUAUUUUUACACGUAAAUUUUCUGCGAAUAAUACCUUAUUAUUCAGGUUUUUAUUCGCCUUUUUUGAGGGCUCAUGCGUGAGUGAGACGCCAUGAAUUGCGAAGUGUGCGAACUCAAAGAAGUGGUUUGUGUUUUGAUUUUUUUUUCCCUUCAAUUAAUUGCUUUUUUUUUUUUUUUUUAGUUUUGUGGGUCUUAUGUUCUGUGAAAUUUAGGAGUUAAAACAAAAAAAAAAAAAAUCAUUUUUACCCAAUAUUGGGGAUUGUUUUUAUAGUAAUAGGAGCAUUAUUCCAAUUAUAGUAUUGUGUAUAAAGAGAAAUGAUAGAGAUUUUUAAUUGCAGGAGGUGGAGCACUAUGAGAUUCGAGAAGUUUUGCGAUGUGAGUAUACUUCUUUUAGUUGUUUUUCAUUCCAUAAUUUUUUUUUUUUUUGAACUGAAAUUAGAAGAAUAUAUAGGUGCUUUUCAUAUUUCUUCUGCAAUGAAGGGGCAUUACAAGAUGUUCUACUUAAGAAUUUUCCUGCAGAGAUAAAUCGAUUUCCGGAGAAUGAUAUCAACAUAACUUGAAAAGUAAAUAAUAACAUCGAUUUGAUCUCCGCAAAAAGUAUAAGACUAUAGAAAAUGAAAUUGUAUGGUGUGUACCAGAAGCUUAAUUGAACUUCCUUUUCCCUGUUUGGAGCUCUUCAUUAGGCCUCAAAAAUGUUUUACGAAAUUAAAUGGGUUAAUUUGGUUCUGGGAUGUUUGCUUUGCAUUGGUGUUGUGUUAAUUACUGGAUUUUCUUACAAAGGCUCCGGCUUUGGUAAAAUUGGCUUAUGUUUCAUAUGAAAUGCGACUCAUUUUCUCUGAUGUUGGGUGGUUAGUAAUUUUAAUGUGCGGUUUUGCCAUUUGCUAGUUUCACACCUCACUGCAGUUCUUAGUUAACAUUGUUACGGAAUUUUGUAGUUGUACGGGCCAAUCUUGCAUUUCAGAUGCAGUUUCUAAGUACCAAGUCAUCUCAAAGUAUUCAAACAGCAGCCCCGACAGACUAAUCAUAUGGAUACACGUCCAAUACCCGUAGUGUAGAUUCAGAUAUAGCAUGAGAAAUCCGAUUUAGUUACAUGUUUUAAUCAGAUCUUUUUUGUGCUUCUGAUUGAUAUUUGGAAAAAAAUUCACAUCCUUACACCCUAAGAUAUCGAGUCUAUGAAGAGAGUAAAUUGGAAAGAAGAGGGUAAAAGAAGUACUUCUUGUGUCUCUUAUUGGCUAGUUUGUUGACAAUUGAAAUCGCUUUUUGACAAUACGUGCUAAGCUCUAAUGAACCUGAAUCCUACUAUCGACUACAGAAUAGUAGUUGCAUUUCGCAGGGGGGAAAAAGUACGUGUAUAGUUGAUCCCAGUGCUGGUCUUUUGGCGACUUAGACUUUCUUGGUUUAUUUUUGCUGCGAAAAAAAUGGUAAUAUGUUCUCACUUUCUAUUGCUGCAGGCAUACUGCAUACAAUUCUAUUUCACAGAGCUUUGGGUCUUGUUCGACCAAAAGACGUCGACUGUGAACUUUUUGAAAUAACUUAUGUAAGUAUUGCUGAACACAAAGAAGUAUCCAGUGGUCUCCGUCUAGAUACACUGACUAUGAGGUGUUGAGGCAGUAAAAUUGAAUUGCCAAGAAGCAUUAUUGUGCUGAAUUCUCUACUGCGCAGGUUCAAUGCGGAGAUCCAGAGAUAGAGAAGAAAAUAGAAGAUAAGAUUGAUGAGUUCAUUAAUAAGGUUGACAAACAUCCGAACAGAAGAAGCCAGGUUUAUUAUUUUCUUCUGUCGGAAUUACUAAGAUGAGUGCAACUUUUUUAUUCUUUUACGUGUAGAGAUGCUAUAUGCAGCAUUUUGCAUUUGGCUUUAUGUAGAAUGUAAUUAUGUGGAUUUCCGCGGACCAAAUUAAACUUUUACUGUAAUGUAUUUAUCAUGCAGAUUUGUUUAUCUUUCUACGACACCAAGAAUAAGCAACCCUCAUGGUUCAUUAGCAAAGUAGAGCGACUGUACUGGGAAACAUGGUGCAUCAAUUUGCAUGUCCUUAACCCAAAAUCACUUCCCAAGUCUCACCAGAAUAAAGUAAUAGACGCUGGAGGUCGAUUUUUCUCUUUUUUUACCCUUGAUUUUGUUUACUAGUACGUCUCACUUGCCCAUUUGUUUGAUACAUGUACUAUCAAUUGAUUUCAGCAUGUGCUUUCGAGGAGACUGAGUCGCACCGUGCUGCGUUGGAAUCGUCACUCCGUGAAGUUUUAUUUCAAAUUAUAAAAUUUGCCAAUGAGAAGAAGGAUCACUUGCCUCCUAUACCUUCCAAUAAAGAGGGCGCAUCAUUUCCAUACGAAAUCACAAUAGUGAGGUCCGUCUCUGUUCAAUCUCUUUUUCCGGUCAAUCCCUUUGGAUCAGUUAUCGAUGAGACCUCGCACCUAAUCAUUUGACUCUUUUUCCUUUUCAUAUAAUUUGCUGCGUAGUUCGUCAGAAUCUUCUUUCGGGUGGCACGCUGAUGUUUUCAAGAGAAUGUUGCAGACGGGGCAUCCGACAAUGAUCGGCUGAACAUAUACUUAGCCUUUCAAAAGGUGCUCUCAAUAUCUUCUGAUAAAAGUUACACAUAAAGAGCCUACGAGCCUUGUGUAUACUGGAUAGAUAUAACAGUGGAGAAUUAAUAGAAGUACAUUAUAUUUAUUAUCUACACAUGAAAUGAAUGAUGAAAUUUGAACCAACGAGUCUGAUAGUUCUACUCAUGCUCUUUACUUUUAUAUUCAUCUGCGCGUGUGGUUUUAAAAUGAAUGUAGUGUCCCUUUAUUUUCCGUGCCAAUUUUGUGAGAUAACAUAUUCUGUUUCUGCAGUUUGUGCUCGCGCUGACUUUUGAAAUUUUUUUUAGAGACAAAUAAACUUCUCGAGUUUCUCUGAUGUUUCUUACUGAAUCUAUGAGCAAGUUUAGAGCUGGUUAUUAUCAUGUGGUACUACUUGUUUCUGCUGCGGCGAAUUUGGUCAGUAAGAGCCUUCAUCCCCCUUUUUCGAGUACAAUUGCUUCUUUAGUCUUCUGUGCCCGGCUUAUUGGAACAGCUUCUCUACUCUGAAAACUGAAACUGCGUCGUUCAAUUAUUAGAGUUUUUGACUGAUGCAUGAAGUUAGAGUGACAUUCUUUGCCGCAAAACCGUGACCACAGAAGAAAAUUGCAGCAAUGUGAUGCUUUGUUCAGGAAGAUCUCUUUUGCUUUCCAAGCCUUAAAGUCUAAGAACGCAUAUCUAGAACAAAAAUUUUGACCAGGUUUUUAAUAAUUGUUCGAAGAUGGGAAGCUAAUCUCUCUUGUUUGAGUAGAUUCCAUUCACGUCUUUUUUUUUUUUUUUAAUUUCCUGAUUGUAAGACGUGGAGUGCACUGAUAAAACAGCUUCAGACUCUCAAAAACUUCCGAGGAUUAUCUGUCCAAUUUUAUUAUUUAAUUUGAGUCAACAAUAUCAAAAUUUAGAAUUAUUAUUUAACUACAAUAAAAUCAAAGUUGAAUAAACAAUUUUGUAUUAGAUUGCAUUGGAUUACAAAAAAUUUUAAUUUAAUUCAGUUUACCCAAAAGAUCUAUUCAGGAGAUGAAAUACGAUACCAAACCAAUUCAAUGAGUAUAUUUAACAAAAUAAAUUAAAUUAUAAAAUUUAAAGAGUCCAACUACUAUGCUAUCGAUAACACCAAGUACUUUUUGCUAUUAAGUUUUCUGUUGUUAAAUUUAUUUUUUUUUAAUCAUUUUCAUUCUUAAAAUCAUACUAUUUCACCGACCAUUUAUUAAACCUAGACAAUCAUUGUCAUGCUAACUGCGCAUUCCUUCGUCUAAGGGCCGAAAACUUAAUAGCACAUGAGUAAGUGCUAUUAAUAAUAUUCUAGCUGAGUUCUAAUUUAAAUUAUCUAAAUAUAUUUUUUUUAUGAAUAGUGUUAAUUAUAAUCAUACUCGUUAGAUAAGUUUGAAUUUAAUUUAGAUUAAACUACAUUAAGAUCAAAUCAAAUCCCAAAAAAAGUAAAUUAAUUUACUACAAUAUUAAUUUCAUUUAAAUAUAUAUAUAUAUAUAUAUAUACUAGAUUAAUUCACGAUCUUAUCCUCUCCGGCGGAGCACCAGAACUCGGUGCGGUCACCGCCUCUUCUCUCUCUGUCAGUCUCUGUGCGUUACGUCCCCAAAUAUAUCUCCACUACGACGCCAACGGAGUUGUUAGAGAGAGAGAGCGUUAAUGGCAUUUAUUCGCCCUAUUCCCCUCCUUAUUCUCCUCUUAUUCCUCCGCUUAUUCACCUACCCUUCUCUCGCCCUAAUCUACGUCUCCACCCCCAACUCCACCUUCCUCCCCCUCUCCCCCUCCUCCUCCUCCGCCUCCGAUGACUCCUCCGCUUCGUUGUUGCUCCGUGAGAUCGUCGACGCGAUCGCGGCGAAGGAGCGGUGGGACGCGAAAGACGGGGUUAGGGUUGCGGAUCUCGACCGCGGCGGGGUCAGGGUGCGGAGCGCGCGGAGGUACGAGGUGCGGGGGAGGGCGGGGAGGACGACGGUGGCGGCGACGUUCUCCGACGAGGCGGCGGGGUGGAGAAGGGCUCGGGAAGGGGGCGACGGCGUUGUGGUGGUGGAGGAGGGGGAGGAUUUGGUCGGAGGGGACGGCGCGGUGGGGUUGGGUUUGGGAGCGGCGAUUAGGGAUUUCGAACUGGUGGGGCCGUUCGAUUUGAGGGUCGGUGGAGGAGAUCAUGAUGAGAUCGCGCUUCAUUAUCCCCUGGUAAGUGGUCUCUUUCGUUCUCUAUUGGAUUUGGUGUGUUGUAGUGGGAAGAAGAGAACUACGUAAACGAGCACUUUAGUUGUUUUUGGUACUUUUAUUACGAGUACUUUAGUUGUUUUUGGUACUUUUAUUACGAGUAAAAUUAGCUGUUAAUUGAAGGUUUCUUUUAUUAUUCAUGAUAAUUUAGUGAGAAUUUGUGGUGAUUAAUGUGCAUGAAUCUUAGAUUCCUUUUUUGCAGGGUAAAUCAGUUGGUUUUUUGAUAAUUAUGUAUGGUAGUAAUUAGCUAUUAAUUGAGUGUUUCUUCUAUAACUCACUUUGGGUUUAUUAUCACUCUCGCUUAAACACUAAUUCAUUGGAAGAAAUUUAUUACAAGUUUGUUUGUUAGACAAAUGACUUUCUCUUCGGUUGCUAAACUCUGGAAAAAAAAGAGAAUUUGUCAGUGUGAUGGAGAUCCAAACUUGGUCAAAUUGAAAAGGUCAUAAGAAAUUAUUGAAAUAACUGGACAUUAUUAUGAGACAGUGAGACUGAGAAUGAGGGAUUUUCUUGGAUAGUUUUUCUAUUAACUAAUUAGAUGAGUGGUGAGGAAGUUUGGAGGAAUGAAAAAGGAAAGAACUUGCAAUAAGUUUUUAAUUUGACAAACUUUUGUUGCUGAUAAUUUUCAAAGUUUGUGGUUGGUUCGAUGGACAUGUAGUUACUUAUGUAAUUUUGAAAAGUAGGAGGCCUAAAGCUAGUUUACACAUCUUCAUUAUUUUUGUUGGUAACAUUCUUUGUUUGUUGUUAAAAGUGUUUUUACUGCACAAAUACUUAAACAGCUGAUUAUUGCUUUGUUGCUAAAAGUGUUUUUACUGCACUUCAUUAUUUUUGUUGGUGACAUUCUUUUUUUGUUGUUAAAAGUGUUUUUACUGCACAGAUACUUAAACCACUGAUUAUUGCUAUGUUGUUAAAAGUGUUUUUACUGCACAGACACUUAAACAACUGAUUAUUGCUUUCUUUGGUUGGAUAUGCUGAUAUAUAUUUAUUGGCGUCUUUUACGUUCUUCCAUCCUCAUCAAUGAGUUUUAUAUUAUGUAAACUUCACUAAAAGACCAAAUUGAAGAGUUGAAAUGUAUCUAUAUUUUAAAUAAAUAGCUGUGCAAGCUUUCAUUCUAGUUCGUGUUGUUGUAUUUCUUCCGGUAGUUGGAUCAUUUCAAGAUUUAGCCUUGUUCUUCUUUUGAUUCUUCACUCAUCUUCUUCACGUGUGUAGUUGAGUAAUUGCCUGUUUCCUAUACCUUCUAUAUUUCCCGCAAUUUCUAUCAUCAGAAAAAAAAAAAAAAUUAUUAUGGUGACAAUUCUGCAGUAUCUGAAGAUAAUAUAACGUGUUUUGCAGCUGAAUACCACCAAUGUAGGUUUGAAGCGUUUACUCGUCGGUGAAGGCAUCAAAAUAAAGGUUGCAGGUGCCCAACAAGUCUCGUUCUCUCACCCUUACGAUAUUGGUCUAUCAAUGAAUGGCAUCUUGGCUCCUCAUGAUGUAGGUCAUUGCCAUAUUUGGCCCCUCAGUUAUCCCGCAUGCGCCCUAUUACUGUCCAUAGAUAUUGUAGGAUCAAUUAGGGUUUUUGUACAAAGCACCCAUACCUCUCGAUACAAGUCGAGUGACACCAUUGAGUUAUUACCUAAGAAAUGUUACAAUAAAAGACCAAGCAGUGAGAUUUCUUCAUGCUUGUUCUGCUCAGCUAGUUCCAGAUUGAGUUUGUUUGGCAGCGUCUUGAUAAAGGUGCUAAGAAAAAGAACUUUUGAGAAUAAUAAACCGAUUCGGUUCCUAAAAGCUAAAGUAACGGCUGCCGCUGAAGUUAAAUUCCGUAUAGAGCUGGAGAAAAGGCUUACAGAGAAUGAUAGGGCUUGGAAGAAGAUCCCGGCGUGGAAAACAAAACCUAGGGUUGACCGCGUGUGGCUUGAGGUGGUGGCUAGAGUUGAAGAAGGGGGGCGGUUGAAGGCUGUGCUACUAAAGAAGCUCGGCAGAAGCUUCUCUAUAGAUGAUUCUGUUGCCUGGAGCAACAUGAUGUCUAAUGUUUCUUUCACGCAGUUCCCGUCUUUCGUCGUACAUCCAAAAGCAUUGACACUGGACGUGAAAUGGUAACUAUAUAAUCAUAUAUUUAUCUUGUAUUUUAAAGGUAAGUUUACAUGCAUAUAUUAAUCUCUUUUUUUGGCUGUAUCGGUAACUUUUGAGGUUUGUUGCUUUUCUAAAGGCUCUCUUGUCUAGAUGAAAGUAUUUUAGCCAAUGCUUGGAGGUUUGUAAAUUUGCCUUGUAUAUCAAGGUAGGACUUAUUGGAGCUCUUCUUUUAAUCUUUUCGAAUUUUAUGUGAAUUGAUAUCAUUAUUUCUCUCUCUUCUUAUAAUUUAUCUAUCAGAGAAAAUGUGGUUGGUAUUGGUACUAUUAUCAUCUCGUCUGAGCAAGUUGGACUUUUAUUUAUUCUGUGGACAUGCAUCGACUUUAGCAGAUGUAUUAAAAUUUAGGCAACUUAAUGAUCUUGUAUUUCUGUUAUGCCUAAAACACAGCUUUUAUCAUCGUUGCUUUCUAGGGAGAGUAGUUGAUAGUUGUAGCCGUAUGCAAUAUUGCUGUCCAUACGAGAGAGAGAGGUAUUGACAUAUGUUGAAUCACUAAGUUGUUACUCAUCACAAGGUAACCUAAAAUAGAAUAGAAAAGCCCAUCCACAGCACAUCCAAAAAACCUCACACACAACGCAUCCAAUCACAUGGAAUAUCUUUAAAACAAGUGGAAAAAAUAAAAACAAAAUCAGCUCACAUACGUGCAAUGUUGAUCCAUCAAUAAUAGAGGAGUCAUCAGAGAUUAUUUUAUUACAAAAUAAAGAAACAUUUGGAGGGACCUUUAGAGCUAUGCAUACGUUCUUUUUCUACAAAUAGGCUUCAAAUUUAGAAUCUCGCGUAUCAAACAUCAAGCUUUUUGUUACUUGUAUUAGAAACGAUUCAUGCCAUACUGCCAAUGUUGAAGGCAUUAAAAGAGAAUGAUCAGUUUGCAAACUUCUUUAUUUGACCGUCAUAUUGAUUCAGCAAUAUCUGGAUAACAGGGUGAACAAAAAUUCAGAAACAAAAAUGGUAUAGCUAAACUACAGAACGUGCUGAAAAGUUUAAUACUGCAUCCAUAAAAUUAUCCAAAUAAUGUGAUGCUAUCAAACUGAAAUUCCUAAAUAAAAGAAUAGGUGAAGGUACAAAGUUCACAUUAAUUUUUUUGAUGUGCAUGUUGACAUUUCUAAAUCUUUAAAAAUGCAAAGGGACAGAAUUAACCAUAUGGUCCUGAAUACAUGAAAGAGAGCAGCAGUUUGAAUUCUGAAGUCGCUUAUUAUUUAGAAUUUUUUGAGAGCGGGAAGGUACCAUGGCUAGCCUCAAAGCAGGCUUUCAAUAUAGAGUAUUAUCUAAUCACUGUGCUGAAUAAUAAACAUGAAAUCGAGGCUUGAAAGGCUUAAAUUACAGCUUAGGCUUUACGAAGUUUAUUUGACCCACAGAUACAAUUACAUGUAUAAGAUUGCUCGAUCUAAUCAAACUUGAUAACUUAAUCUCCAAAAGGCAAAUUUUACAUUUCACUACAUAUCGAGAAUAUUUAUGUUUCACUAACAAAGUUUAACAGAUCCUAUGAUGUUCCAGGAACUAAAAAAUGCCAAAUGUUUACUAAAGCCUAGUUUGGUAAUGUGGUGACUAAAUAUACCAGUUUAAUAUUUUGGAUGGGCCAAAAAACAAAAAAAAUCCGAAAGCGCAUCCAAUCUCCCUUCUUUUAUGCUGGCAUGUAUCUUAGUGGUGCUUUUAGUCGUCACAUAACCAAACCAGGCCUAAGAAUCAUAAAAUAAACUAUAGUUGAAGAUACACUAAAUUUUACACCUACAUCAUCAGGCUGUUCAUGUUUUGGUUAAGCACAUUGAAACACACAUACCUGUACAUCAUCUGAAACAACUUGGAAGUAUGCAUAAUGAAAUAUGCUAUUGCAUACUGGCUUCAAGAGAAUGUCCAUUCCGCCAAGAGGACUGGUGGCAGAAUUAUAUGUUGAAUACAUUAUCUCGCUUGAUCAGGACAUGUACUAAAGGAUUGUGAUACAGAAUAGUUAUUGGAUAAGUUAGACGAAUAAGGCCCUUGCAACUCAUCCCCUAUUAUAACCAAUGAAGAGCAAGCAAACCUUCGCCAAUCUCCACAAAAAGGUAUCAGGCAUCUAUUUUCUGGAUGUUAUCUCCUGUUGCUUGCAAAACGCCUGAAACCUGGAAAAGCUGCUAAAAUCAAAGUAAUUAAGCGUGCUCACUCCAGGAGCUGUUCAACUUAAAUUAGGCUCUUGAUAUAUUCAAAUAUAUAGUUAUUCAUGCAGCAUUGAAUAGCUAGCAGAAAGAACAGAUAGGAUAUUCAAGUAAAAUGUGUCACUGAACCUUUAAAUUUCCAGCAUGCAUUGCAACUUUACAACAUGAUACCUAUUUUAUACAACACGAUACCUAUUUUAUAACUGGAAUCUGCAAUUGCAAAUAUGCAUCUCCACAUUAUCAUCAACAUUCAGUGAAAAUAGGGCACCGACUUUCCGGCGGAACUCGUUCAUCUUUUAAGCAGUAUAGGUUGGUGUACACAACAAUGAGCUUAAGGGGAAAAAAAAAAAGUACACAACGAUGCAUAUCUUUUCUCAUUUUGUUCAGUUUUCAUUCAUUUAAAAUGGUCAUACCAAGAUGCCACAGAUAAGUUUGAGAAAAUGUUGUAAAUAUCCAGAAGAUGAAAAUGUAAAAGAUGAGAAUGGCAAACCUUCUAAGGAGGGGUUUUGGAUUGUAAGGAAACAAAUCCUUGCGAUGAAGAUCUUCCAGAGUCUUCUUUAACGAAAGAAUACAUUCUUUGGCAUUUCCAAAAGGGUGCAGAUUGACACUAUUACUUAGGCUGCGAGAUUUGUGCUUUCGUGGUAUAUACUCAUCAGUCACAAAAGAAACUGAUGAUGAUGGUUGUUCUUCCCCCCUUAAAUUAUCUUCAUCUGUAGAGAUCCUUUGUCUCUUGUGAUAUGAUUCAUUGAUUAAAUUUUUGGGAAUUGUAUAAUCAACAAAGAUUUGCCAAGAUUGAAAAAUUACUCGUAAGCACCUACAAACAGAAAAUCAUGAGGGUGCCGCAACCUUAAAUUGUAUAAACAGAAAAUAAAAAGAUAAGUGCAUAAAAAUGCUUUUACAUAAGAAAACCCCUGUGAUUAUGGCUUUAUGUUUUGAACCAAUUCGAAAGUUUUUGUUUAAUAUCAAUCCAUAUUUAUAAGCUUUCUUCCAAUAUAUAGAGUUUUCAGAAUUCAUAACAACACAAACAGAGGAAGAUAUAAGCAAAACAAACGUACCUUAACAGAUAUUGCACACAAUUAACACCGAUGUCUUUAGAAAUAAGAUAAUCAACAAGCACCAAGUGGUCAUAGUGUAACUGCAAUGUCGAAAAAAUAUUAGUAGCAUGCUUGACGCUGGAUUCUAGAUAAAGGAGAUGCUGAGAAAAAUGGAAAAGGCAGAUAAUGGGACAAUGGAGGAAGAAACAACGUGUGUAAUAAGAAUGAUGCGCGAAUUUUCUCCUUGCAUGUGUUGUAUAGACUAUGACUAGUUCAAAUUUCUAUAGGCUGCCUUAACUAGAACCCAGCAAUAUGUAUUAGUUUGAGCAAGAAACAACUUAUCUGAAAUAAAAUGAAAAAAAAAAAUGAUAGCAGUGUUUCUCACAGAUUCCAUGAGGAUGGUAGUAGAACCAGUGAUGCACUGCAUUUUUUUUUUUUCAAUACACUGCAUUUGACAAGUACAUGUAGUAAGAAAGCUGGAGAUAAAGCUCCAUGGUACUACAUUUGGGCAAUAAUGACUAAUAAUGUUGUCUUCAGCCAUGAGCAAGCAAUGGAAUUUCUCCAGAGUCUAAAGAAACUAUAUUCACUUUAGGUAUGUCCAGGCAUCUCCUAGACUGACUAAUGUUUUUAUUGACACUAUAAAUACAACAAACCAUGCCAAUUAAGCACAAUAAACGAACUUGUAGAAUAAGCUUUUCAAAAUUUCCAGAUGAGGGAAUACUUGACAGCACAAAUACGCAUUCUACUUUCCUUGAUUAUGAAUUUAUGUGCUUCAAAUCGUCACAUGUAGAGGAACAAGAAAAGCAAAAGUAAAGAAAUAAUUGCUUAAUGUGCCAUUCACACACUCACCAAUAAAAGCAGCAGAUGGAAAAGGUGAACAGGAUUAAAAAUACUUGAAAAUGCACAUCUAAUUGUCUCCGCAGGAGACAAUUCCUUUUCAUCGCUCUCUCUGCAAUUUUCCAGAGGUAAAAUCAAAAUAUCAUUGUUCGCAUCCAUGUAUUCUUUAAUGUUAGUAUGAUAUUAUUUCAUGCUGCUUACCCUUGCAAGGCAAUAAAUGGAACAUCCAAAAGCUGUAAUAACAUGUCAAAAAGCAUAUCAUCCUGCAGUUUAAGGAGUAUCAAUCAAGCUAAAUACCAAGCAAGCACAGCUGCACAACUAUUACUGUAGCCUUACUACAGAAUAUGAGAUGAGGACAUUGGUAGAAUGCAAACUUUUUUGUUAAUAAAAUGAUGACCAUCCAAUAGUUGGGACAAUUGUUUUAUUUUUCUUUUUUUGAGAGAAAGGUAGUUGGGACAAUUGUUAGUAUGAAAAGAUUGAAUAUCGGUGUUGCUAAGCAAAAGCCUCCUCUCUCCAGGAAUAUAACAAGCACAAGUUAGGUUUACAUGAUUCUACAAGUCAAAUAGCAGCAAGGAAGACAAAGGAACCUACUAACAAGUCAAUGCUAAUGAAACCUAUCAACAACAAGGAUGACCUGUAAUACAAGAUUAUUAAAACAUUUGAGGCCCGAGACUUGUAAGCAUUACUGAAAAGGUCAUGACUUUCAUAGUUGACCAAUAGCAGCUAGCAAGGAAGUUUCAUUACAGAAUCAUCUGAAGACUCGUAUGCAAGACAAGCAACUAAAGAAAAUCACAAAUUUCAGUCAAGAAAUAUAUGUUAAGGAAGUUGGCUGUAUAGCAGAUGAAUGAUUAUAGUAAAAGAAAUAAUUUAAUGAUAGCUUGCAAAAGAAAGCAUUUGAAGUACAAACAGAUCUUUGGGUAAUGCAGUUUCAGCAGCGACAGCCACUAAAAAGAAAUAAAGAAAUACACAGGCUUUAUUAAAGCAUACCUCCUCCAUAUAAAGUUGCAGGAAGGACAAAGCAAACGAUGUAGAUGAUUUUAAUAAAUAUACACGAUCAAACAUCUCUAUGUGACCACACCUUUGAAGCCAUUCAGAAAUUUCUAAUAGACCAAUAUGGCAACAAUGAUCACCGCACACUGGCAGCUUAUAAUUCAAUAGAGAAGGCUCUUCUGCACAUGAACAUUGCUGACUAUUUUCACCACUAAUGUGGAUCAACACGAAGCAUAAUUUGAAAAAUAGAAAUAUGACUUGUCUCUGUAGGUGUUGCGUACAUGGAAUUUGCAAAUUAACUGCAUCAGAAAAGCUAGACCAAAAUGGAGAUUCUUCCAGAGAGAUUUCGCAUUCAACAUCGGAAUGUGAGACAGAUUUGUAUAGAAGAUCUUGAAAAUGUUGUUUGAGUAAUUGUAGCCAUAAAGCAAGCUGAGAUGAUUGCCACUGCAUGAGGAAGCUAAGCCUAAUCAUAAGCAUCUGCAGAAAACACAAAUCACUGUCCAAUCAGGUUUGUGCAAUCUUACAGUACACUAGUAUAAUAAAGGUUAAUGCCAUUAAGUUUCAAGACUUAAUAGUUCCACGUAACAAGUCAUUAACUUUUUAAGUGAAAAUUAGAAAUUACAUGAUAGUAACAAAUGCUUGCAUGACGUUAAGAAACAGCUUGUCUUUCAGAAUAAGGAUUACCAGCAUUUUAUGUCUGAGAUAUUGAGAAAUGAGUUUGUUAUCAGCUUCCAGCUGAUUGCAGAAGUAAGACAAAAGCUUGGGAACAAGAUCGCAUAGUUUGCAAAACAAAUCUUGCCUUUCCAGUAAAUCAUUUUCCACACCUUCUAAAUCAUUUUGCCCAACUAGGGAGCAGAACAGCUGAAGUAGAGUCCCAGGAAGGAUAGCUUCCAACCCUGACAAGCCAUUAUUUUUCUCACCAACAUUAAUCUUGCUUAAACAAUCCCAUGGCAUAUUUUGAACGAAAGGUGUUGCAAGGUCUAUGUACUUUUCUAAAAGCUCAUUGUUAUCAAGUUUAAGAAACUUCAGAAUGUUACGAAGAAGUCGCAAGAGUCCAGCAACCAUUUGCCAGCUCAAGUUUGCUCUUCUUAACUGCAAAAGUGCAAUGAAGCUUCUCGAGUCGGUACUCAAAUUCUCAAUUUCAUAUAACUUAUCAGUUGCUGUACACGAUGAUGAGUUACGACAAAUAUUUGAUAUUGCUGUCUCUAGGGUGAUCCAUAUAAAUUGAACAAACAUAAUCCAAAUGCUUCCCUGAAACAAGGAUCACCCAAAAGAAAUAAACUGUUAGAAUAUCAAUUUAUAAACUAUAGGCACCUAAUAAUACUGAAUAAUCAGAUAAGAAACUACAUACGAAACUAAUUAGGGUAUUUGAGAUGGCAAAAAGAGUAUUUCCAGCCAAAUGUUGAACAUAUCCAUUGUCAAAACCAAGGAAAGCAACCUGAAAAAUGAAAGUAAGAGAAUAAGUUAAGCCCAAAGCCAUCAUACUAGUGAAAUUACAACUGCAGGGCUAUCAAUGGCCAUGAGAAGAAUCAAUAAAUUCAAGAAUACACGAGGGAAAAUGAUAUCUAAGCUUCAACAAUGCCAAAUAGUACAGUCAAAAGCAGAGAAUCUGAUAUUCCAGGGAACACUUUAACAUAUAACUGAAGAAACAUUGACAACAUGCGACAGUUUUAUUCAAGAAUAUUUAUGAAAGUGGCCGAAACGUUUAUCAAUUAUUAUGUGGGGCUGGUCAAUAUGUUGAUGCAUGUUGAUAAUUGAUUAAUAUGAAAAAAAAAGUCAUUUUGUGUUUCUUCCGAAUUAAUGUGGCAGGAAGCAAUUAUUAGCCAAUGAUAAAGGAGAAAUUUCUGUUCACGGCAAUAAUAAAUGAGAAAUUUGUUUAUCUUGGUGGAAAGCAAUAUUAAAGGAGAAUUUUCUAUCCACAGCGUCAACUUACCAUAAUGGAAACAAUAUUAGUCAAGCAUUUGCAGUCACCAUCGAAAGGUUGCUCCAAGAACACCGGACAACUGUGAACAACAAUAGCAUUCGCCAAACUUUCCUAUAGUAUCAAAAGAGAAAAAGGAGAAACAGGAGAAUUAAUCUUUGCUAUUCCUCAGACAUUUAAAAGGGAAUUUGUCAGGAGUUCAGAAAUCAAAGAUUUGUAACUGGCAUCUAGUACGCCAAAUGGGAGAGUAUUGCCUAUGAUUGGCCUGAGAUGCUAAAUCUCAAUAGUCAAGUACCAACUCAUUUUGGGCAUAUAAUGUCGAGCGUUAAAGCAUCAUAUAUUCUCGUUCUAACUUGAAGCCUGGAGAGAACUGCAGUCGUUGAUCCAAUAUAUGACUCCAUUCAAAAGUUGCAUAGAAGGUCGACUUACACAUAGAAGCUCAUAAUUCACACCACCACUCGUAAAUUCCACUCUAACGAAAUAUAACAAGCAGUAGCUUAUGUUCUCCUCUUCCAGAAGAAUUAAUGGCACUUCAUAUAUCUUUUACUACUUAAUCAUCUGUGCAAGUAUCUAACAUCGAACAUCGCCCUUUCCAAUAAACACUAUUAACUCAAACUUUUAGCACCAAAUUGUACAAACUAGACUAUCAAAACCUAGAAAACGCCCCGAUAUAUGGAAUAAGAGUAAUACCUGAUCUAAUUUCGGGUCGAGAUCAUUCCACCAUUGCCGGAUUUCUUUGGAGACCUAAGACCAAACAAACACACGAUCAGAGGGGAAGCAAAAACCCUAGAGAGAAAGAGGAGGAGAGACGAUGAUUACUCGCGAAAGAGAUAGAAGGAGCUGCUUCUCAGAUUCCUUGUUGAGUGGAGAGGGCUCUGACUCCUGCGAGAAAGUGAGUUCAUGGCGAUUGAGUGAGAGAAACAACGAGAUCGAAGAGGAAGGGAGAGAGCAGGGGAGGAGGAGGUGGGGAUUAGGGCACGGACGAUGAAGGGGAGGAGGGAGCUUGUGAUGAGAUCGCAGAGGCGAGAGAAGCGCGCCAUUUUUUUUUUUCUUUUUUUUUGGAAGACGAGCGGCCGCCUCCGUCGACAUGCCUUCCCUUUUAUAUGUGCGGUAACUGGUCGACGAACGGCGUGAACUAACGGCGUUACUUGCCGUUACUUUGCGUUGAAGUGGAAGAACGGAUACUUACACAAAUAUUUAUCAACAUAUUACAGUUAAUCAGAAAAGUCCUUGGAAAAAUCUAAAAUAUUUUUUAUAUCCUUAAAUGUUUGUAAAUUACAGCUCCCGGUUAUCUUAGAGAAGAACGAGAACAUUCAGAGCUAGAAACAUGGGUACUUACAUAGAGAAGAACGAGAACACUCACAGCUAGAAACACGAUAAAAAAACCUUCCGUAUCAGUAUCCGGCUAGUUCAUCCUUUUGACUACAAUUCACGUGGCAUACCCACAGAAGCGAGCACAACAAACAAGUACAGGAUUAAAAGGAAAGUAAAAUGACUCUCAGCAUCCAUCCAUCCCAGCAUGCAAUUUCAAACUUGAUAGAUGACAUAAAAAGAGAGUUACAACCACAACAGUAGAGCCGACGGAUCCACCUACAAUUUAAGAAAGAAUUGAAAUCGAUGCACAUUCACAAAUUACGGAGCUCCCACAAUUCCCCAUUCAAAGUUUCAGACAAACUGAGGACAAAAGAGAACAACAAAUUCUAUCUUAUAGUUUUACAGAGUGAUUUGCAUGCAUCAAAAUCUUAAGAAAGUGAGAGCAAAUACAAGUUCAUUCAUUCGUUCUUUGUCCCUGCCUUGCCUAGGUUAUCUGCCUCUUCUAAGAGGCCUGUGUAUUCCACGGAGAGCCAACCACCACAAGCUUUCACGAGCAUCAUUCCUCUAGAAUCACACCGACAAUGUCCUGUGCUCGCUGUCCUUUCAGGUUUGUUUCCAAGGAAACCAUAUUUAGAGUAACAAGCAAACUCAAGCGAAACAAUAGAUGCUGCACCAUGAGUACGCUGCAGCAAUACACUUUGAGAACCAUCAGAACAUAUAUGUAAACCACAAAGCAAACUUCAUAAUCAAGUAUUAAUAUGCUCCUUCAUAGGGUAAUGAAGGGACAGAGGGUGCAUUUGCUUAAGCAAUCUUCCGCCAAACAGGGCGGUGCGAAACAGAAUGAAGAGACAUCUGGGUAUUUGCAGAAAUUUGUUCAGUGAAUGAACAAUAUAUAACAGAGAGAAAGAAGCUCAUUGACAAAAAAAAGAAGUCAUGUCUAGUCUGCAGCUGGUGUUCCCAAUCAGAAGGGGUGUCAAGAAACCCCCUGCGCGUAGUGUACGGCACUUGGUUCAUAGAUUGUAUCUGAUAUUUUUGAUGGGGGCCAGUACCGAAGCACCGAUCGUCCAAGAAUGUUCUUAACCGGGAGAGGUCCCCUGUAAUAACAAGGAAAACAACUAAUUAGAUCCCAGUUGUACCUCAUGGGUCAAGCAGCUAAAUUUUCAAAAUACAUGGAGAAGCAAAAAUAAUCCAAAGUUGGGCAUCAAGGCCUACCAGUUAUGAGAGUCGAAGCUGUUGUUCCUAUUAUCCCCCAAGACAAAGACAUAACCUUCAGGAACAAGCUGCAUGUCCAACAGCGGAAACUAAUCAAUACAUCAUAAAAAUUGAUGGAAAACACCUAGCAUCUGCAGCAUUCUUACUAACAACACAGGCUCAUAUUUAAAAGCAUCAAAACAUUUGCAAUGGUUGGAAAACUAGACGUUAAGGGAUAAAUUGCGGUAUAAACUCUUAUAUCCAGAGCUACAUGAACAGGAGAAAGAAUAUUUCUAGAUAGCCCAGGCUUCAACAAUAUAUAUGUAUUAAAACCAAAUGCAAUCCCAAAUUAUACAGAGUAUGAAUAUGCCUAUAUGUCAGGUAUUUUAGUUGUUAUCUCCAAAAUUCGAGCAAUUUGAUUAACUCUUAACUAAUCAGGCAAAUUGUAAAUUAGCUAAAAAAUCAAACUAGAAUGAAGAUGACAUACCACUGGUUUCAUCUUGUAGUUAAGCGGCUCCAAUACGAAUUCUUCAUAUUGGAUAACACCGUUCACCAGCAAUUUACCAUCACAGACCUAUCAUGUCGGAUAACACACCAAAAAUUUACUUACAGUUUGAACACAAACAGCAACUUUACAGGAAAAUGCAACUGAAGAGUGUGAAAAGGCUUACUGAAAGAAUAAAAGCUUACUUCAACAUAGUCCCCAGCUUUGGCCACAACUCUUUUAAUGAAAACAUCACCUGAACUGUAACCCAGCUCCUGCGAAGAUGUGAGCGCAAGUCAGAUAUUAAGCAGGUUAUAGCAAAUAGCUCCACUCAGUGCUAUAAAUGGACAAUGUUUAACAGAAAAGAAUAUAUAAAUAAAAGAAUGAAUGACAUUAUACCUGAAGAACUGGAGGAGCCCUGAAAAUAACGAUGUCCGUGACCUCGGGCUCUCUGAAUAAAUAAGACACCUGCAGUUUUAGGAAAAACAGCAACAAAUCAGAUUAGUCAGAUGUAAAAUUAAGCACAAAAUUAAGAUCAAAGCAUAGAUACUCAUACUACAAUGCAACAGGGCAGAGAAAUUAAGCAGGAAAUCUUACCUUCUCUGCUAAUAUCCUGUCCCCAACAUCAAAUGUCGGGUACAUAGACCGAGAAGGGAUCGAUCUCGGCUCUGCCAUGCAUGAUCCAUACAGCAGCGGCACCGUCACCGCAGCAAAAACAGUCUUCGCAUCAUCCGAGCAAGAAUUCACCCACCGCGAGAGCCAGCCGUUCUUCUCGCUCGGCUUGCUCAUCUCAGCCACGCCACUCAUCAUUUUCGAACUCACCACCGUGCUCGAGCUCUCCUUAGCUUGGCACACAGGAGGAGCAACACUUUUCCCCCUGUCCCGGGGAACCGCAGAGGCUGUCCCUCCCUUAUCCACCAGGCUGCUUCCGGAAGACCCCGGAAGGAACUCACUGCAGGGGAACCACUUGCUCGCCUGCAAGAACGGGAGCAGCGACGAGGGCUUAAACCCUAGCGUAACCGAAGACGAGAUCCCCAUCGCUCCGACUCCAGCAGCUGACCCGGAGCCAGACACCAUGGCAGAGAGCAAUCCGGCGGCGAGCGUCGACCGAUCGCCCUUCGCGGACGGAUCUCCAGCGAUCGAGGCAAAGGAUCGUGAUGCCGAGCGAUCUGUAGAGAACAAAAUGGAGGAGGAGGACAACGAAGAAGAAGAGGAUCUGGACAACGCCUUCGCACGAUGUUCUCCGGCGAGCGCAAAGAACCCAGAGGCCGGAUUCUUCGACCAAUCGCGAGCCCUAGAUCGAUCGUCGUCCCGGCGAUCGGAGGGGCUGUGGUUGUCGGAUCGGAGGCCGGCGAAGAAGGCGAAGGGCCGGCCGGCAUCGUGGAAGAAGCGGCGAGGCUCUGGGCCAAGUAGCCGGAGUAGGAGAUGGUGAUCCGGAUCGCCAUAACCACGAGGUUGAGGCACCAGCGGAGGAUCGGAUGCAGCGAGGAAGACGAAGAACGCCGAGAGAACCGAGGGGAAGCCCCAGAGAUCACAGGUCGUAGGCCAUUUCCGCGGAGUUUCGCGCCAAAUCGGGAUCGGAAGCGGGAAAUUGAAGGGUUUCGCGGCGAUCUAGGGUUCCGGGGACGCCGAGAUAGAGAGGAUUAGCGUUCGCAGAGGAGGGGUGGAGCGAUUGAUGGAUUUAGGGCUAGGGUUUGGUGGGAGGGUUUCGAUCCUGAGCUUCUCUCGCGAGGAGAGAAGCUCAGAAGAACGGGAUGGCGAAGACAACGACAACGGAGAGAGGAUGGAAACAGAGAGGAAGUGGGAGGAGAGUAGGGUUUUAUUAGACUGAGAUUAUUUGAAUGCCACCGAAUUUACAGGUAUUUACAAUAUAACCAGCUGUGAUGAGUCGCUUAAUGGGUAUUUCGUUUAUUGUUUCUAAGUUGUAUUAUUUUUUUUAACUUUCUUUCCUUGUUUUUUUUUUUUUAGUUGUUUUAAUAAGUUCAACUAAUUCUCAAAAAGUGUUCAAUAAUCUAAAAAUUAAUUUUAAAAUAUAUAAUAAUUUAAUAAUUAUUAAGCUAGUGUGGUAGUUAUUAUUCAAAUUAUCAUUAAUAAAGUAAAAACUAAAUUUUUAUAUUUACUUUUUAUAAUAAAACGGAAGGCUUUGUUUUUUAGAUAAUGUAGUAGCUUAUGUGCUAUGGGACAAUUUAUAAUAAAAAAAUUUACGAAUAAUUUUGAUGAUAUGCUAAUAUUUCUAAAAAUAAUUAGCAAACUAGUUACAUUAAAUAAUUAAUUUAUAUAUUUUACUAAAAUUUAGCAUUUUAGAUUUUAAUAGUACAUACAAAAUUCAAUUUGAAAUUGCUAAAAAAUUACGCAAUAUAUAAUAAAAAAUAAGAUGAAAAAAGUAUUAUCACAUUUUGCAUGUUGUAAUAAAAAAGUUACACUAUAUUUUUCGUGAUGUUAAACAUCUACAUGCUUUUAUCUCGGCUACCUUUAGUCCAUUGGUAUUUUUGGUAAGCUACCAAAUAGACGAACUAUUCUCAUAACCGAGGGUUGUUUCCGUAAUUAGGAGCAUCUUCAAGGGCAAUUCUCUUUUCUCUGGUUCCUUCACUACUAAGCCGCCGUAGGUUGCUUCGUGGCAACCUCCGUUAGAAGGCGAACGUGGGCCGUACAAUGGAGACCGGUGACUCCAACUGUUGAGGAAGUUGACUAGGCCCAAUAAGAUCACUCCUUGGCCCAAAUAGGCUUUCCCCCUUUUUUUUUUCCAAUUAUUUGAAAAAGCUGUAAUUACGAAAAUCAGAUGACUAAUUUAAUAAAAAUUUACAAAUGUUUGGAAAAAUGGAAAUAUGUUGAAAUUGAUUUUUUUUUUUUUUUUUAACUUUUGUUUUCCAACCCAGUUAUGUUAGUCGUGGUGUUCACCUCUUAUGCUGGGUCAAAUUAGAAUAUGCAGAUAAUAAUAAGGGCUCCUUGGGUCGGUCCACCACGUGUCAGCAAUACUGCAAAUAAUUGGACGAGCGAUAUUGGUCCAAAGAUGACGUGGUGAACUCGGUCCAGGGAAUAGUUUAUCGUAACAGAGUGUUGGGCCGAGGUAACUCGGCCCAGUAGAUGAGGAAGAUCGUAGAAGCAGAGCGAAAACGCCGUUACGGUUAACGACAUUUGGACACGAGCGAUUUUGAUUGGUUGGGGCACUUUGAUGACGUUAGCGCUGACGAGACAGAGAAGAGUUGACUUGGUCAAACAAAUAUAAAAUAAUAAAAGUAAUAGGGGGUUUGUGGGUUUGACUAAUAAAAUAGCUUGAUUGAAUGUGAUACCAAAUUGGAGGAUUUUUUUUAAUUAAAAAAUAGCAAUGAUAAAUUUUAUAAAUUAUUUUUUUUAGUGGGUUAAAUGCUUAGGUCAUAAGAUUGAUUAUCUUAAUGCUUAAUUUGAUCAUGUGCUUCAACUACAUUUGGGAUGCAACUUUUACAUUCCUUUUCGGAAAAAAAAAAGGAAAAGGAAAUGUGUAAUAUUGUGGCAAAGGUUUACCAAUUUACAUCUUUUAUCUUCUCCAAUAAACAUAGCUAAAAUCGGUUUGAUGUAUCGUGAAACUAUAUAUGUGUAGAUGCAAAAAUUUAUCUUAUGAUCCUCUUUUAUCAUCGUAAUUAACCAUAAACAGAUGACAUUUAAUAAAUCAAUUGGAUCUAAUUCCUUUAAUCAUUCAUUCAUAAGAUAAGAUUGAAGAUUCAUUGUAUCUAGAUUGAAGAUUCUUUGUAUUUGAUCUGUGCAUAAAAAAUUUACAUAUGAUACUACCAUUAUCAGGUGUUUUUGACCAACUCCUUUCUCUUCCACGGAGGAGCAUCUAACAAUUCAAAGAUGAUUGGGUUUGCUGGAGAAUUAAAUGUCUAAACUGCUGGUCCCCUUACUUUUCAUCAUAAAUCUGCGAAAUUUGGCAGAUACUUUCCUCUAACCACUUUCUUCGGAGAUAGUUUUAUAUACAAUUAACAACGUCAAAGAAAAAGACAAUUAAAAAAAGUAAGAGACAACUUUGAACAGUACAUUAUACAACAACACACAUUUUACAGCAUAAUUCAACUUUCAGAAAUACUCGCACUUAUAGCUGCUACCGAUACUGUUCUAGAAAGAAAACCACGUUGCGAGGAACCUACAGCGCACACGCAAUUUAUGUACAAAAAUUUCACACAUUAAGCUCUUAUGAAACAACUUAAUAUGUUUCAUGAUCAGGCGCCGGCGUAUACCACGCAGGAUGGCGCCCUUUGCUUCUCAGUAGCCUGGUGAACGGAGAGUCGGGCAUGCGAGCCUUCUCUUCUUCUUCGAGCUCGUCUUUGGUUUUCGGUAGCCCGUCGGGUAUCGGAAAAGGUCUUUCCCUUUGUGCCUCUGAAGUCGACAAAGCUGGUUUUUGCGCUUCUUUCUCUUUCUUCUUUUGCAUUGCGGUGAUUCCAUGAAGACAAUCGAUUAGAGACUUUAUCCCGCCAGCUUGUCUGAUGAAUUUCUCAACGUCCUCUCUAGGCAGUUCUUUCUGCAUUUAACACCGAGAAUACCAAGAAUGAAGCCAUGGCAUUGAGGAGUUCAAAUUCGAUAACCUCUUUUAAGUGGUAAGGGGUUUUAUUUACAUGCAUACACCUACUGAAUCUCGAUUCCUUGCAGUUUCUUACAUAUACAUUUUAACCUAAGUUGGGGAGUAAGCCAAUACGUGGGGAAAGUUGGUUUUGCAUCAAAAUAAGGACAAUUAGAGUGGGGCAUUUCAUAAGCACGUUAUGUGUAAGAAUUGUUUUUUUAAGGGCGCACAUAAAAAUUCAAAAUUUGCAGGGUCUUACUAUAGUACAUCAAUAUGCAGGAUUAUACAUGUAAAUAUGUCCAAACUAUGCAUUUACAUGGUUCGCGUACAUUAAAGCAGGACGUGAAAAAAAAACAAAAAAUAUUACGUACUUGGAGAUCUUUAAGUGCAAAAUAGGCCCUCCAGCAGUUAUAGGAUUCGUCGCCCUCGAGUGUCGAGCAGUAAUCUGCAAAAGAAAGAAUCGAUAGUAUAAGUUGGUCGAUAAAUACUUUCAGAUAAACAGUGAAUCACAAUGUAAACCAUGCGGUAAGAAUGUUCGACUUUGACAUUUAAUUGGCCUUAAUGUUAAUAUAUCAUCAAAUUUAGCAUCUAUUUUCCAAGCAUUAGCUCUCGCGGAAAAAGCAGAGAGCCUAAAUAUUGGGAUUACUUGAGCAACUUAACUGAAAAAAAAAAUAAAAUAAAACUCCAGAAACUUCGGGUGUUUUCAACACAGAUGUAGAUCUCAUUGAAUGUUUCAAUUACAGGGCCUUUACAUUUCUCAGCUCUACAUUGGAACAAUUUGAUGCCCAUCUAUACAACAUAGUAUGCAUCCGCGCACAAAUGCAUGCAUCAAUAAGAGUGUUCUUUCGAGGAAUGGGGAUAUUGAACCAUUGAAUGAUCUACGAAACUAAUCAAAUAUCAUUAAUUUUAUCGUUUCAUAACACUCUUUUGGGAACUUUUGAUGAAAAUAAAUUGUGAAAAAAAAAAAUAUGGACUAUGCCAGUCUCAACAUUUAAGGGCUUUGGUGAGUUUAGAAGACAACUAAAUAAUUGAACAGAGAGAGCAUUCAAAAUCCUCCAUGUAAAUCACAUAAUAUUUAUAAUAAUGUCUCUAAGAUUAGAUUAAUCAGCCAAAUUAACAAACAAAAAUACAUCUUAAUCAACAAAUUCUUUCUUAUUUUCACAUCCAUAUCCAUCAUCAACUCAUUUUUCUACGAACCUAACGCCAAAUUAACAGAUCAAAUCCUUAAAAAACACAAAAAUUAGUACAAAAGAUGGGAGGAAAAAAAAAGAGAUCAGACCUGUGAGAUCGUUCUCGGUUUUUUGUAAGAAAGGGGGAUCCCUAAUCCCGCGAUCGAUGCGGCUUCUACUGAAGGGCUCGAGCUUGGGGAUGGAGCCACCGCUCCUCCCCUGGGCCCCGCAAACCACGCUCGACCACUUACGUCGCGACACGUCAACACCUCCGGCGGCGGCGGAGUAGUGCGACGAUGGAGUUGGGGAUCGGAGCACGAUCGAUCCGAGCAUUUCGCCUCUUCCUCUUCCUUCGAUCGAAACCCUAGGUUUCCUCUGUGGUGACACUACGACGACGACGACGACGACGACGAAGAAGAAGAAAAGGAGAGGGUUUCUAUAUACGGUUUUGGAUAAGAUCACAAAGAUAUUAAAUUCUACAAAAUUAUUAAAUUACUACAUUUAGAUAUUUAAGAUCUCGAAAGAGACCGAGCAUGUCUACUACGAGAAGGAACUCAUCAAGGACUUUCCACGUGGCGUAUAUAUGUUGGUGGGUUUUUUCGUGGGUACAAAUCUGUUUUGGUUCGUGAUAUAAAAACGAGGAGAACUUUGGGCGUUUUCACUACUAGUUUUCUAAGCGGUAGUGGAACCUCCCGAGUUAGCACAGCGUAUGGCCGCAUAAAAAUCUCUAUGAAAGAGCGGUGAUGGGACACGGUAGGGCGUAACGGACGGCUGGAUGGAUGGGUCGCAGAGAAAAUCUAUGGAUAUUCCAGAGGACUCGAAGAGUCUAGUAGUUUAGAUAUUUUUGUGAAUAGUAGAAAGAGUUGGGCUAAGGCCCAAUGGCCCCAAAUUUUUUGAUAUCUAAUUAAAUUGGGCUUUAAUUAGGUUCGAGUCAAACAUGUUUGCUACAAAAAUUUAAUUUUGGGCUAAACAGGCCCAAUAUUGGUAUCGAGAGUCGCAUGACGCUAUUAGGCCGAAAGAGAAUGAGUUGGGGAUGAUGUCUUAGCUUUUCGAUAGAACUGCAGAAAUCAUAUCAUAAGUUCGUAAUCAGACCGGUGUAAUCUGGACUCUGGAGAGAUGUGUUGUUAUUUACGAAAAUAAACAGCAUAUUUUUCACUCUUAUUUUCUCUUCGCACAUAAAGCUUUUUCGUUACUUAAUUGAUCACAUAUCACACUUGUGAACAUGGUAAUGGUGCAAUGAGAGAGCUUAUUCCAAUUUCAUUGUUUUUGAGCAUGAUGUAUACUAUUUUUUGUUCAUAAGUGUGAAACAAAUCACCCAUUCCCUUUCUUUUUGUUGUGCCAUAUCUAUCUAUUAUUAUUUUAAUUAACCUUCUAUUUGAUUCAAAGUAAGAGAAAUUAUGGGUAGGUUCUCAAUCUAUAGUGCACAUAAUAGUUUUUUUUAAGAUCUAGAAAUGCUUUUCUAGAGUGAGUGGGACUUUGUAGAGCACUCCACAUGUACAAAGCCAAAUAGAUAUGCUUUUGAGCACACAAAACAAUCCUCUUGAGAAGCCCAGCCAAGCCACUUUGUGUCUAAAAUAGACUAGGCAUUGGGCAAGUAGGCCACACCUUUUUAACUUAAUCUUUAUGUUAAUGCCCUAAUAAUACCAAGGUCCAAGAUCCUAAAGUUAUGAGAGUGAAAUGACAAAUCUACCCUUUCUCUUUUCCAUUAUUUUGUGCUACUGUGGAUACCUCAGAUAGUGAGUGAUUCAACUUUUCAAAUCUUAGAUGUAGCAGCACAUUUUAGAGUAUAUUUUGAGAUAUAUAUUAUAUAUAACUGCAUUGUAUAGAUGUGCCAGCCCAGAAGAUCACUGCAAAACUCGCUAAUGAAUUAUUUGCUCACCUUAUUAGUGUCCUUUUUAAUAUUAUUAUAGCAAAGCAAAGCUGUAGCUUAUGAGUUGUAUGACCCACCCAAUUAGAGAGUUGUCCAAUUAGGAAUCAACCUUUAUACACUAUAACCCCUUAUAGUGGUAUAUCAACACUUAUUAAAGAAAAAGAAUAGCAGGUGUGACACAAAGGGCUUUAAAAAAAACCAGAAAGAAGAGUGCCAAUGGGACUAGGACCCAAAGUGCUUUUAGAUGGGGUCUUAUCUCCACUUACAAAGAGCUAGAUCAUGCUUCUUUUUGAUUGAUUUGUAAAGCACUUUAUGUUUCCAAUAUGUACCUCCGACUCUGAUGUGCUUCGCAUUGCUUAUUUUGCAAAUUCCUAUCUGAAUAAAAUUGUUUGAAGAAGCAGUAACUAGUAAUUGUGAUUUAGUCAAAAUCGUAGAACAACCACUUAACCCAUAUACAAGAGCAGAAAUUUUGAUUUAAACUAAUGCUGUCAAUGGACACGAUAACCUUAAAACCAAUAACCGACUGUCCCUAGAGCAAGUGGCAAAGGACUUGAUGGUUGGUACUCGAAACCCAAGUUCGAAUCCUAGUUGAUUCACAUUUCCAGCGAAGUUUAUUUCUAAAUGAAAUAAACGAAGCGGGUAGCGUGCUACCUAAUCUCUCUCGAAAAAAAAAAAAAAACCCUUAAAACCAAUAUUUGAGAAUUCGAUCCAAAACAUAAUAAUUUCUUUUUGCUUAUUGCGCAUGACUCCGAAUACUCUACUGAUUGGAUUCAGAACUGACAUCUCUAACUAGAACUGCAACUAAACAAAGCCGUCCUCGAUUCGAUCGGACGAUCUCGAAGUAUGGUACACCCUUAAGAGUCAAAAGAGGGUGUUUUGGUCUCUUAUUUAAGAGGACAACAUAACUGGGAAACCCUAGAACUGGGUAUUGAGACCCUAACAAUAUAUGACUACUAAUAACACAUUAAUUAUAUUUAAUCCAAAUUCAACGCAUCAAACCAUACGCUUACGCCACCCUUUUUUUAGCUUAAAAAAUGAUGAGGCAUUAAAUAAAGUGUUUGUUCAUAGUAAAGCCACAAAGAAGAGCUCUACAAACUAUGAUCAAACACAUAAAAACAAACUUAAUUAAUUAAAACAUUUUAAAUUUAUUAAUGAAGCUCGAGAUUAAUAAAGGACUAGUAACCGAGAGAAAAAUACCCCUUAGUUUUUUUUUUUUUUUUUUUUUUUUUUUUUCUAAGAACAUGCUCUCAUUGGAGAUUCCCCAAAAAGCCCACCCAAUGCAUUAAUUCGUUGGUUUUUUUUUUGAAAUAGAGUGAGGCGUUGAGCAGGAAAAUGACCACUAGGGGUAGUUGUCCGAAUAUUAAAGCUUUGACAACUCCAUUUGUUGCACACUUGUCCACGCAAGAGGUGGUAUAUUUAAGAAGAGCAUCUUGAUUAAUUUUCGUGACUUAAGAUGAUGCAACAUUUUUUUAGCCCUAACAUUGAACCAUGUUCGCAAAUCACAGAUGAGGAUAAUUUUAUAAAUACCUGUAAUAUCCGAAAUUUUUUUUUUUCUGUAACUCUGCUAAGACACAACUUCUAGAACUUUUCGAUAUUUUGUAUUCGACUAUGAUCAUAUCAGCUAUUUAGCUAUAUAAAUUUUUACAUAUAAUUUACUAUGAAUAUUCUGCUAAAUAAUUUUAUGUUAGAUCGACUUGCUGUAUAUAUAACGCCUAUGUUUUGAGUCAAUUUUAGAAAAGUUAUGAAAACUUAGAGAUGUAUAAAACACCCAUUUUGGCAACACGGAAAGUUACACAUGAAAAUUUAGAAUUUCUAAAACAAUUUUUUUUUCCUCUUACAACAUGGAUAAGCUCAUGAAGAUGCCAUGGAUUAAAAUAUAUGUAGUAGGUGUGCAUGGUAAUAAAAUGUAUCUAAGUUUUGACCACAAUAAAUUAACUCUUUCUAUAUUACCAUCCAAGAUCAUAUGCUUCUAUUAGAAGAUCUCCAUGCUCACUCGUUACUACUUAACAAGUACUAAAACCAUGAUUUGACUAAUCGAAAAUUGCGUAAUAGAUUGUUUAUGUUCUCUUGUUUGUAGAGAUAAGAAUAUAAAACAAAAGGAAUCUUUAACUAAUUAAUUAAUCUGCAGCUAACAUCUAACCCUAAUACCCUAUAUAUAGUAUUAAUUGUUCUCAUUUUUAAGCCAAAAAAAAAUACUUCGAAGUAUAUAAUAAUUAGAAUGCAGUGGUUUAAUUGAAGAGGAUGAGAAUAAAGUAGGUACUAAUUCUUUUUCUUAAUUAUGUUGUUAUUUGAGGAUUGGAAUGCACUAACACAUUGUCAAAACAGGAUGAAAUUGAAUUAAAAGAAUUUGAUGAAACUAAAAAAAUUAAACAAAAUCAAAUUAAAACAAACCUACAUUAAAAAGAUGUAUCCAAUAUGGGAUUAUAUUCUCGACAACGGAGAAGCUACGCAUCGAUGGCCAUCAAAAUUUUAUUUUGGUGAUGUUUCUACGGUAAUGUUACUACCACCAUGCAUUUUAAUUAAAGUGAAAUUUUCGUAAAUUAUUUACUUUUUAAUUUUUUUUUUUAAAAAAAAUUGAUGUGAUUGGACAACUUAUUUUCAAAUUACACCUAGGAUUUGGUAGUAUGUGGCGAGUUAAGGUCCAUCCAAACUUUUGUCACGGGUUUGGAAAAGCUUUAUCUGUAGAACUUAACUAAUAAACGUGUUAUUUAUAAACAAAUACAUCCAAAAUAGCAUGCGCUGACCUUUUUUUAAAAAAAAAAAAAAAAAAAAAUCUUCUCCCAAGUCCUAGUUAAUGCGGGAAAAAAAGACAAAAAAAAAAUCUCAACAUAUUCUUCAAAAGAGUCAAAAAUACCGAUAAUACCAACAUAUUUAUUAUCCUUCAAUGUUCUCCUUUAAUUUAAGUUAUUAUAUAUUAAGUUUUACUGAAUAAAACCAAACACCAUCCUAAUACUAUUUGCUAUUUUGCUUAUUACUGUAAUUAACUUACAUUUGAGACAUAGUUGCAUCUAAUUUAGUAGUGAUUUUGACCUAAUCUACUUCUCAGGCACCGACUUAUGGCAAAACUAUUAAUUAGUGUUGUCAAAACAAUGAUUUUUAUUGCUUCGGCGAUAACGAUUUUUAUCAAUAAUUGAGAUACAAUAUUUUUUUUCGAGAAAUAGGUAGCUAGCUACCUGCUUCAUUCAUUAGGUAAAAUGAACUAAGCGUACAAUUUGGAAGCAGCCAGGGCCUCCCAAAAAAACAGGCAAGGAGCGAAAAACAAAACAAAACAAAAGAGAGAAAGGAGGGGUGUUAAUAAGGAGAGUAGGGAUAGGAGCUGAAGCCCAGUUGGCACAUCACCGAAAAGAGUUCCAGUCGUUUAGCAAAAGUUUGACACGUUCCAGAGACCGGGUAGCGUUGUGCGUGCUUCCUCGAAAGAUGACGUUGUUUCUAUCUGUCCAGAUCACCCACCAAGUCGCGGCCAAGAGGGACAGGCCUUGUGUCCUCGAAGAGUGAACCGGGAAUUGAGAUACAAUAUUAUUAAAGGAAGAGCUAUAUAUGAAGUGUUAUAGAGCCAGUGUUUUGCUGGGGAAAGUUGCUACAUAAGUGUUGCUAAGUAGAGAUUGUUCCGAUUAACACCAAAAUUUUUUUCAUUAGAGUUUUUAGUAGUUUCUCUCUCUUAUUUAUAGGGUUAAAAAAAUAUUUUAAACUAUCAUCAUAGCAAAAGUUACUAUUGUGCGUAGAUUUUGAGCUCAAAUUUGUACUUAGACAUAACUUUAUAUUGAGGUUAACAUAUGCAAUUUGCUAUCUUUUUUGUACAAACUAGAAGAACCACUCAUUGGGUUUGUUGUUCCACUAAUUUUUCCUGAAAUGUUCACUAAUUCCUUGGGGAAUUUUAUUGAAUUCAAUGCUCUUUAAUAUGUUAAAAUACAUCAAUCCCUUUGCAAACUCAGAAAAUUCCAAACGUGGUCAAUAACAACAGCACAUUAUUAGUUGGUCUCUGACUAUAUGUUAGAUUCAAUCAUGCAACUUCACUUUCAAAUAAUAAAAAAGAUUGCUCAUUCUCAAAGAAAUUUGGGGUUUCCUCUACGCGUGAAAUCAUAUUUCUUAGCACUAAAACAAAGAUACGAAAGAUACAACAAUAUCAAUGCAGUCGUGUUCAGCCAUUACCCUUGCAAGUGAUUAUGAUCUGACUUUUCCAAAGUUAAGGAUUCGAGUUUUACCGAUAGAGGUACGCUCACAAGAACGAAACAAUAAUCGUGCAAUCUACAAUUGUUUUGGUUUAGAGGCGCCGGUUUCGAAUUGGAGUUAUAUUUGGAUUUGCAUUAUCAGAUCGUGUUUGGAAGAAGCAUAAUUUCAAAAAGGACUAAAUGGGCAUUGACUUUGGGCCAAAAGCCAACCUGGGAAGAGGCCCACCAAAGACAAUAUCACGAACCCACCCAAGUACUUGUACAUGGGAGGGUGACGUGGCAAGCAGGGAGUGGUUUACAGUAUACACAUACACACACAAAACAAAUAAAAUAAAAUUUAAAAAAAAAGAAAGAGAAAAAUGCUGCUUAUAUAUAGAGCAACUUCUUAUAUAGGUCCUUUACUAAGCUUAUAAUCUCUGAGUAGUCCUUUUCCUCGUUGUACCAUUUUGGCCUUUAUUUGCUCAGAAACAAGAGUACCUUUUCAAUGAAGGAGAGUGGACACAAUAUAAUAAUAUACCUGUACAAAAUUCCAAGAUUGCAUAUUUAAUUUUGUAAAAUUAUUAUUAGCAACAAAUAUUUUCCCAAAUUCUUUCAAAAUCUCUCUCUCUCUUGGGUUUACUUGCUGUAUAAUUUAAAGGAAAUUUACUCUUAAAAAAAAAAGUAUUAUUAGAAUUUGUUUACAUUAUCUGUUAUCUGUGAAUAAAAAUUUAUCAUAUUUUUUUACAAGAAGAAAAUAUAUUAGAAGUUUAAAGAAUAAUUAUAACACUGAUGUUUAGAAAGCGUUUGGCCAGGGACAAAACUAGGAUUCAAUCUUGAGGGGGGCCAAAAUAUAUUUAAAUAGAAACUUUAGUAAUAAAUAAUAAACAAAAUUUUUUCUAAUUAAAAAUUUUUUAUUAAAAAAUUAUUAAUUAAAUAAAUAAUGUAAAAGCAUGAACUUUAUGUUUUUUAUUUUCAUAUGUUUAACUUCUAACUAUUUUUUUUAUAUUAUUACAUUAAAAUAACUUAGAAAUUUUACUAAAUCUAACAGUAAUUUCUUAGUUUUUUAGUAAAUAAAAUUAACAUAGCUAUAAAAUUUAGUGCAAUUAUUGAUUUAGUCAAAUAAAAAACAUAAAGUUCAUACUUUUNAAAUAAAAAUUUUAAAAAAUUAUUAAAUAAAAUUUUUAGAGUAGAAAAAUAUAUUAUAUAAUACUCUAUAAGUAAGAAGCUUUUAAUAUAUUUUCAUCCAUAAAAAGAGUAUACCGAUUAGGAUAAAGAGUGAGAGAGUUAUAUUGGUACCAUAAUAUUAAGUAAAUAUUGAAAAGUUAGGGGGGCCAAAACUAUCCAUAUUUCAAAAAAAAAAAAGGGAAAACUUCAAAAAACCCCCUUGUGGUUUUAAUUUUUUUCACUUUAGUACCCUGUGGUUUAAAAUGUAUCAAGUUAGUACCUUGUGGUUUCUCACUUUAUCACUUUAGUACCCUGUGGUUUAAAGUGUAUCAAGUUAGUACCCUGUGGUUUUGCAUUUUAUCACUUUAGUACUCUGUGGUUUUGAUUUUGUAUCAAAUUAGUACCCUGUGGUUUUUUAAACUAUAGGGUACUAAAGUGAUAAAGUGUGAAACUACAGGGUACUAAAGUGAUAAAGUACAAAACCACAUGGUACUAAAUUGAUACACUUUAAACCAUAGGGUAUUAAAGUGAUAAAGUAAGAAACCACAGGGUACUAACUUGAUACACUUUAAACCACAGGGUACUAAAAUGAAAAAGUGUGAAACCACAGAGGGGGUUUUUGAAGUUUUCUCAAAAAAAAACUUUGAAUAACCAUUAAACAAAUAUUGAAAAGUUGAGGGGGGUCAUGGCCACCUUGGGCCUCUAUUUGCUGCGUUUGGUUGUUAAUUUGAAAAAUAUUUUUUUUGCUUAAAUGAUAUAUUUUUAUCCGUUUGAUUUUUAAAACAGUAAUUUUUUAAUUUUUUUAAAAAAUUUUAUAUAAAAUAAUGUUUAUGAAAUUAAUUUUUCCUAAUUUACGGAAAAACCAAACAGCCUUUCAUUUCAUUAGAGUGCUAAAAAAAAAAAAAGUUUCUCAAAAGUGGAGAAAUAAAUAUGUAGUCUAAACCAGAAAUUAUCAGAAAGUUGGGUGCUUACAUGAAAUUUCCCAAAGAAAUGUCUCUCUCCAUAAGAAGUCAAUGCUCCAGGGUUUGUUAUAGUAUUAAAAGUAAUCAUGAGAAAAAAUUGAUCAAAAUAGCUUUUGUUUAUUUUAUUAAUUUUAUAAAAUAUAUAUAUAUAUUUUUAUAUAUUUACUUUUUGUGACUGUUGAGUUAAAGUUGAGAGGUGAGAAAGGUGGGGACUUUGUUGUGGGAAUAGUAGAGCUCUGCAGAGGGGCAGGAGCAAAUAAUGAAUGCAUCCUUGUAUGGAUUGACCCCUCCCCAAACCCACCCCCCCAAUUGGAGUUAAUGGAUCUGAUGGGUAAUAUGGCCUGGCCCUGCUUUUAAUUCUCUGCAGAAGAGGUUGGUGGUAGCAGCAGCAGCAGCAGCAGAGACCCAACCACAACACACACACANGAGAGAGAGAGAGAGAGAGAGAGAGGGAGAGAGGGGGGGAGGUGGAAAUUGUUCAUUUUGAUGGGAUUUGGGGAUCUGGGGUUUUGUUUGUGAGGAGGGGAAAGAUCUUUGUUUUUUGUUUUUUGUUUUUUUACAUUUUUUUUUUUUGGUGUUUAAACUGUUUUAGCAUCUUGGUUGUGUUUAGAUUUGGUGUUUUAUUUUGAUUUGGUGAGGGGAAGGAAAGAAAAAAGAGAGAGAGAGAGAGAGAGAGAAGAAAAAGUGUGUUCAAAUCCUUCUUUUUAAAAAAAAAAAAAAUUUUGGGCUCUUUUUCUCUUUAAUUUGAGCAUCUUAAAGGUGCCAUCUUUGUUUCUCUUUGUUGAGGAUCUGAAGUUGAUUUUAGAUUUUGAAUCCACUUUUUUUUUUCCCUUUUUUUUUUUUUUUUUUUUUUUUUUUUUUUUUGGGUUCUCGUCGCCUCUCCUCUCCUACCCAAAAGUAAAAGCCCUUACUUUCAUGUCAAAAAAGCUCGGGAAUGUCGUUGAAUCCCUAGGGUUUAACCCCUCAAAUCCAAAUCCCAUCUCCUCCGCCUCCUCCCAAUUUUUGAUUUGAUCUCGAAAUCGAGGCCCUUCCCUUCGCCCUCCUCCGGAUUUUCUAGGGUUUUGAUCUGAAUCGGAUGGUCCUUUGCUAGGGCUAGGGCUAGGGCUUCAUGCAUCUUUCUCUAUGGAAGCCCAUAUCCCACUGCGCCGCCCUGAUCCUGGAGAAGAAGAACCGGUGGCGCAGCAGCGGCAGCGGCGGCGGCGGCGGCGGAGGAUCGCCGGAGGAUGGCGGCGGCGGAGGCGGCGGCGGCGGUGCCUCCGCCGGGAAGCGGCGGGCUCCGGCGCCGUCGUUCCUGCGCCAGCUCCAGGAGUCGAAGCUCCGGGAAGCCCUAGAGGAAGCUUCCGAGGACGGGUCCUUGUUCAAGUCCCAGGACGCCGACCUCAGCGCCGAGGAGAUCUCCGGCUCGAUCGGGCGGUCGCGGUCGCUCGCGCGCCUCCACGCCCAGAAGGAGUUCCUCCGCGCCACCGCCCUCGCCGCGGAGCGCGUGUUCCGCUCCCCGGAGAACGUCCCCGUCCUCGAGGAGGCCUUCUCCAAGUUCCUCACCAUGUACCCCAAGUACCAAUCCUCCACCGAGGUCGACAACCUCCGGUCCCGCGAGUAUUCCCAUCUCGCCGACGACGGCUCCAAGGUAUGCCUCGAUUACUGCGGCUUCGGCCUCUUCUCCCACCUUCAAACGUUCCAAAACUGGGAGUCCUCGGCCUUUAGCCUCUCGGAGAUUACCGCGAAUUUGAGCAACCACGCUUUGUACGGCGGUGCCGAGAAGGACACCGCCGAGCACGAUAUCAAGGCUCGGAUAAUGGAUUAUUUGAACAUCCCCGAGAACGAAUACGGUUUAGUAUUUACUGUUAGCAGAGGCUCUGCAUUCAAAUUGUUAGCCGAAUACUACCCCUUUCAUACCAACAAGAAGCUCUUGACAAUGUUCGAUCACGAAAGCCAAUCGGUGAAUUGGAUGGCCCAGCGCGCGAAAGAGAAAGGGGCGAAGGUCUAUAGCGCGUGGUUCAAGUGGCCGACGCUCAAGCUCUGCUCGACUGAACUGAGGAAGCUGAUCUCGAGCAAGAAGAGGAGAAAGAAGGAUUCCGCCGUCGGGUUAUUUGUGUUUCCCGUUCAGUCGAGAGUGACGGGGGCGAAGUAUUCUUAUCAGUGGAUGGCUUUGGCCCAGCAGAACAAUUGGCACGUAUUGCUCGAUGCGGGAUCUUUGGGCCCUAAGGACAUGGACUCGCUAGGGCUCUCGCUUUUCCGGCCGGAUUUUAUAAUCACUUCGUUCUACAGAGUGUUCGGAUCCGACCCAACUGGUUUCGGCUGCCUUCUGAUUAAGAAGUCGGUGAUGGGGAGUUUACAGAGCCAGAAUGGGAGUACUGGGUCUGGCAUGGUCCGGAUCGUUCCGGUGUUUCCUCAGUAUUUAAGUGAUUCUAUGGAUGGGCUGGAUGUAAUCGAUGGGCUUGAGGAUGAUAACAUAGUUGGAAACGAAGAGAGUUCGAGGUCUAACACACACAAGGAAUCCCAGCUGCCGGCCUUUUCAGGUGCAUUUACAUCUGCUCAAGUGCAAGACGUAUUUGAAAGCGAGAUCGAUCACGAGAAUAGUUCUGAUAGGGAUGGCGCGAGUACCAUAUAUGAAGAGAAUGAGAGCAUUUCUCUCGGAGAAGUCAUGAAGAGCCCAGUUUUCAGCGAGGAUGAGUCGUCCGAGAGUUCUUUCUGGAUUGACUUGGGUCAGAGCCCGUUAUUUGGGACCGACAAUUCGGGCCAGCUGAACAAAGGUAAGUUGUUGGGAUCUCCAUUACCGCCUUCAUGGUUUACGGGAAGGAAAAAUCAUAAGAAGGUAUCGCCAAAAGGGAAGAUAUCAAAGAGCCCAAUUUAUGAUGAACGCGUUCUCUCUUUCGACGCGGCUGUGUUAUCGGUCUCGCAAGAGCUAGACCGUGUUAAAGAAGUACCCGAAGAAGAGAAUGCAAGUAAUUCUUGGAGAGAGAGUGAGAUUCAAGAAGAGCCUGUAGUUAAAGAACCAACAAGUGUUCGUACAGUGAAGUUCACUUCGACCAACGGGCUUCGAAGUAUUAAUGAGAAUGGUUCCGCUUCAGAAAUUUGCGUGGAAAGCCAAACUGAUGCGAAGGAAAGUGCGAUAAGAAGGGAAACAGAAGGGGAAUUCCGUCUAUUGGGCAGGAGAGAAGGAAAUAAUAACAGAUUUGCGGGGGGUAGAUUCUUUGGUGUGGAAGACAAUGAGGGGGCUUCAAGCAUGGGCCGAAGGGUAUCAUUUGGUGUGGAAUAUCAUAAUUCCGAUGCUGGCGAACCCUCUGGGCAUGCGGCUAGCCAUGAUUAUGAUGAUGAUGAUGAUGAUGAUACUAUGAUGGAGGAUGAUGAUGGUGCUGUAGAAUGGAAAAGACGAGAGCCUGAAAUACUAUGUAGACAUCUCGACCAUGUGAACUCAAUGGGUCUUAACAAAACCACAUUAAGGCUGAGGUAUUUGAUCAAUUGGUUAGUGACUUCCCUGCUUCAACUUCGUCUACCUGAUUUAGGAAAUGACAGUGAUGUGUCUCUUGUUGAGAUUUAUGGCCCAAAGAUUAAGUAUGAAAGGGGGGCAGCUGUGGCUUUUAAUGUGAAGGAUAGCGGCGGAAAGUUAGUUAACCCAGAAGUAGUUCAAAAAAUGGCUGAGAAAAAUGGUAUUUCUCUAGGCAUUGGCUUUCUUAGUCACAUAAGGGUCAUGGAUAACCAGAAACAAUUGCAUGGGGCGGUCGAUUUGAACGAUGCAUCCUUCUGUAAGCCUACAUCGACAAAUCGGCACGAUAGUAAAAAUGCUACAAUAAAAGUGGAGGUUGUUACCGCUUCACUUGGGUUUUUAACAAACUUUGAAGAUGUGUACAAAAUGUGGGCUUUUGUUGCGAAGUUUCUAGAUCCUUCUUUUCUCGAUAGUGAAAGAUUAUCCUCAGUUGCCGAGUCUUCAGAAUUGUAGCAGAUUGGAAAAUUUUGCCUUUAGCUGUUAAUGGUGGCGAUGGUUUCAGAGGGAGAUGCAGAAGGAAGAAGCAGAGUGGAAGUUAUGUGUCUUUUGCCUGUUUCUUUUGCAUCUUCGUCUCUUCUGCUUGUGAAAAGGACGGACGAUGGCUUGUGAUCUUUGGCAGGUGAAUUUAUUUAUUCUUGGCCUCUGUAGAGUUUGUUUAAGAUAUAUGUACCAGCUGAGUUACUCGCGGAGCUUCUUUUUCUACUGAAUAUUUGUAAAGCAGCUCUUUGCGCAAGAUCUAGUCUCGCUAGCUUGUAUGAUUUUGGAUAGCAAGGUGAUGAAGCAAUUUUUACCUUUCCUCAUUUAUGUUGUCCUGAAUUUGCAUUUGUGUUUAAUCAGAUUGCUCAAAUUUAAUGCUUAUUAUCAUAAAGCUUCCAAUCUUCCUUCCUGUAAAGUUUAAUCGAAUUUGUUCUCGCAUAAGCCUUUGAAGUUCACACACCAUGUUGGCAGUGCAGUUUACCUGUUGGAUUGCUUUUGUCUUAAUCAGUAGGACAAAUCUUUUUUGUAUACAAGUUAGGCUGCUGAAUCUAGAAAAGUAGGCUUUUGAUUGUUACUUUCUACUAUAGUUGUUCAAAAUGCGGUUAGGUUGGAAGCUGACUCUGAAUGCAUUUUGUUCAAUUUGUCGUGAGGCGAUGUUGAAAGAUCCCAUAGUUGUUUGCACAUUCUUUUCUUUUGGUUGGUAAUUGGUAUUCGACUGUGAAGUGGUCAACUGAUGAUAACUGUUUAGUGUAUUUUAUAUCUGUCAAAAGAAAUGAAAAGAGUCUUAAAUGGAGCCUAAAAAUAGGCUAUGCUUUAGUAUGAGUCGACUAAUUUUAGUAUCUUGUUAUUAAGGUCAUUUGGAUUAUUUUCAUCUCUUUGGCUUUAAUUUCCCAUACCCUUCCACAAUUUAGGUGUUUUUUGUUUUUUUUUUAUCUGUGAUUUAGCUAUCAUUAUCGGCAAAACUUUGGGAAUUUGAAUUUUGGUGCAUUAUCAUAUCGCUUUAUAUAUCAUAAUGAAUAUCUUUCUACAAAUAAAGGUUCAAACAAGCUACAGUUUAACAUGGCCUUGGGAGACAUCAUAAUUUCUUGCACUCUUUUUCCAUAUUUGCUGAUAGUGCUGGCAAACGAGCGAGCCGGCUAGAUAAGUAUUUCUCGGCUCGCUACAUAAGUAUAUAAAUAUAUAUUUUUAGCUAUAUAUAGGCUGAGUAAGUAAUUUAAGUUUAGUUAAAAUUGGACUAAUAUUGUUAGCUUAUAAAAAUAAACUCAAUAUGCCAACAAAAAGGCGAAAUUUUAUUAAAUUUACACUCUCCUUCUCUUUCUUUCACAUAGUCGUAAAUUCCUAAUCUCUCUCUCUCUCUCUCCAUGCGGCCAAACCUGAAGCCCUUUAAGUUACCAAGUAACAUCACGCAUCCGCCGUUACCUAUUUUACUAUUAGUUGUGUGCUUGAAAAAAUAUCUAGAAUACCUUUAAAGUAAAAAAUAAUUGUUUACACACAAUUUUGAUUUUAGUUAUAUAUAAUUGGAUAGUUUAAUCUAAUAUUUUUUUAUAUAAUUUAUUUAAUUUUUAACCGCAUAGAUGAAAAAUAAUAAUAUAAAAAUUGAAGGCGGAAGAAAAGACAUGUAAGACUGAAAAGAUUAGAUACUCAACUCAUAAAUUAUUUUUCUUCAUAUUAUUAUACCGUAUUUUAUAUAAUUAUUUUGUAUUUUGAACUAUUAGAUAUAUUUUUUGUAUCAAAUUAUAAAUAAUGCUCUGUACAAAUUAAACUAUUGCUUAUUCAGUGUUGAGAAUUUCAAGCAGCUCGUUUAGAGUUCGAGCUUGCUCGAUUCGAAAUUAGGUUCGCUCGAACUCAGCUCAAAUUAAUUUUAAGCUUGAAAUUAAUUUCAAGUCGAAUAUAAAUUGAGCUCGUCUUGUUUCCACCCCUAUUUGCUGAUCCUAUCUUUGAAUUGGACAGGUGUCAACAGUUUUUCAGCAAGAUAGCAUCUGAUUCAGAAAUCAGAUACGUAGGUAUUAUUUUAUAAAGUUCUUAUGUACACACAGGGUUUCAAUGAAACCAUUCAUUCUGAUGUGAAUGAAUUAUUACUGGUCAUAUCACUUUUCAUUAGUCAACCAAAUUUUCCAAACUUCAAUCAAAUUUUAGACUUCUCAACCUCUGUGAAACAUGUCUAUCACAUGCAUGAGAAACUCAGAAUGUAAACUAGUAUGAUUCUUUCUCUCCGUCUUUUUCUCUCCUUUCUUUUCUUCCAAGAGGAUUCCUCUGAUGUUUGGUGUAAUACUAAUCAACUACAGUGUUCUGUUGACAAAGGGGGGACAUUUUGGCUGUUCCUACUCAUACCACUCUGGGGACCAUAUAAAAAAAAGUAAGCAUUUAUUUGCUGGUUGUUGACAAUUUAGUGGAGCAGCAACGUAACAUUUGAAGCAUUGGCUAGAGAAAAAGUAAGGUACCAAGAUCACCCAGCAGUUGCAUCAUUGUAACAUUGACAUAUCACCAACUAUAUAGACUCAAAAGAUAAGAAAAAAGAAAAUAUCUCUCCAUUGGAUGAUCUUCUAAAGCAAAUAUUUAUCAUACCAACGACCAUUGAGCUCAGAUUCUGAAAUGGGAUUAGGUAAAAGAAUAAUAAAUAAGCGCCAUUUGACUUAAGAGCAAAUGAAGCACUAGUAAAAGUUUUUCGUUAAAAUAUUUUCAACAGCUUGUAACUGAAGCUAAAGCAGAAGCACGCUCCAAACCUGCUAUUUGCCAAAUACCUAAUUUCUGAAAGCCUAGAUGCCAAGCCAAAUAGGGCAGUGGAGAAGCAACAAUUUUAUUUUGUAGUAAAAAAGGAAAAGGAAGCAACAUAUAGUAAAGGAAAUUUGUCUCUCUUAUUCUUAUUUGAUAGAUAGGUUUGAAUGUGAUAUAAUACAAAAAAGAGGUUCUUGUGAGCUUUGCUUUCACUUUCCACUGCUUAGAGAUGUUGCCUGAAAUAGAUGUUAUCACUUCAGAACCCUUCAAAAUAUCUCCAGGUACUCAGCAUACAAGAGUAAGGUGAAAUAGCAACUUAGAUUGGCUCAUGUACCAAUAAUUGAGCCACAUUAAAACAGCUUCUAACCAAUCCGUGACCAAGAAGCGGCCACCUCAUCCUCUAACCGAAGUCCGCGCCUCGAGUGAACGAGAAUAGUCAUACAUGUCUGUGUCGUCUCUUUUCGUUUUGCGAGUGUCGACCAUAAGAAAAUUUCAUAGAUUUCAUAGGAGUUUAUGAAUCUUCGACCAUUUUGAUCAGGAAAGCGGUUUCCAGAGCUAGCUCUUUCGACUGCAAAUACUUGCUCUCCUCCACUAUGUCGGUGGUUAAGUUGAGUAUUAUCGGACGUUUUGGGUCGUACACGGUUAGCUCACGUACUCUCGCAACCCAUUUAGCUGCUUCCCAUACACCAAACCUAACAAUUUCAUAUGCAAGUGCAAAUUAUAGCUUCUGCAAUUUUGAUAGCAAAAAUUUCGCAGGCAAAAGCAAUAUAAACUGCCUAAUACACAUUGAAAUUUAGUAAUUUACUGUUAAGAAAAUCCACUACUAUUUUCCUGCAUGUUAAGAUAUUACAAGGUACUAAAGAGCCUGCCCUUCUAGUAGCUGUAGGGAAGAAUUGAAUAUUCGGUUGAUCUCCAACUAAGUUUCACUUGUUUUAGGGAAGAAACAUAUGAGAGAUAAACGAACACUUUGAGUGGUACAAAGCAGUAAGUAAAUUAUGAAAUAAAUGCAACUAAGCGCUUGGGGGGGGUGGGGGNNNNNNNNNNNNNAAUGCAAAACACACCUUGUAUUAAAAGAUGACGUCACCAACACGGCUGGAUAAGGAACGCCCUUUUGAAUGUUAUCGUAAGGAGAGUAUUUCUUGAUAGCGAGAAAAUCUUCGAGGUCCACAGGAUAACCAAACUCUUCAUAAUCAACAGGUGUAAGGGGUAAAAUGGGGUGAAGAAGAGUAUUGCAUACAUCCAAAAAGGGAACCUGGAAGGAGAAAUGACAGGAUAUAGGUAUGACAAGUGACAACCGAAUAGAAGUUAUGAAUAAAACGGAUUCUUGAAUCACAACUGUUAUGGUGGUUAGUUGAAAGGAUCCUAUUCCUCCAUUCAGCUCUGUUUCAGAUAUAAAUGUUCUUGUCAAAAUGCUGCGAUCACAACCAUAAAGCAUUGACAAACUUAACAAAUUCAAAAUCUAUAUAACUUGUUAAAUUCUAGGUAAAGUUACACCAAGAGAAUCAUAACAGUUGACUAGAUAUACGAAUCUUCCUAACUUAUUCUAUUGAUUCUACUAGCUAGGAACACAUCUAUAUAACUUUGUUUUGAUGCGCUCUUACAUGUAGUUAAAUAUAUUCACAGUUUCAUGAAAAUAUGUACAGGUGAUUGCAACAAGGAAACAGCAUAGUUCUAGUAAAAUGAAUCCAGGCAAUACAAUAAACCAGCAAAACUUGACAUGCAAAGUGAGUAAUUACUUCUUCACAAGUGAUCGUAAAAUAAUACGAGGGAAACAAGUUGAUUAGUGCAGAGCUGUAAAAGGAAAAAAAAAAAGUACCUUCAAAAUAGCUGCUCGAAAUAAAUCCGGCUUAGUGUUAAUAGCUGAAGCAACCAGAAGUCCUCCAGCACUAUAUCCCCACCCAGCAAGCUUGUUUUCAUGCACCAUACCUUUCUCAACUAGAAACUCGGCACAUGAAACAUAAUCAUUUAUUGAAUUCAGCUUCUUGGUACGUCUGCCAUCAUGAUGCCACUUCUUACCGCUACCUCCACCACCCCUGUAACCACAUAUUUCAAUUAAUAAAAUUGAGACAAGAGCAACUAUUUAAUAUAUAAGAUAAGGUGUUUUUGUAAGGCAUUUUACUUUUGAUGGGUAUAGAUGAAAUUUAAGUUUUUACAAGGUUAUAUAUGUAAAUCUCCUUGUACUAUUAACAUCAUGCAGUCAAUAUAAACUAUCAAAGGCUUUUCUGGCCAUGAUGAGUACACUAUACAGAAGUUGAUUUGAUCUAAUCAAACAGACCUAACAUCAGCAUACGCAAUGACCCAACCACGAUCGAGAAGGCUCUUUAACUCACUACGCCAACUUUUAUCCAACAGCUCUCCGUAAGCACCAUGGCCAUGAAGUAAUCCAGGACUUCCCUCCUGCUUGUGCUUCUUCGAGUAUACAACAGUCAAUGGAACCAAAACUUCAUUCAUCGAAGCAACAUCAUAAUACUCACAAGCAUAGUACUCGGCGAGCUCAUUCCAACUAUCCGCCACAUUAUCUUCGCUUGAGGCAACAGAGCUCUUACUAUUGGCAGCAAAAGCAUUCCCAUAUAAAGUUCUUGUUCUUUCAUGAAGCAUAUUUUGCUGUUGCACUAUGAGCCACUUCCCAUUCAAUAAGUUGUAGUCCACAACAGCAUCAGGCAUCUGCCAACAUAAUGAAUAUGACAAAGAAAGGAAAAAAAAUAAAAGUUAAAAAAGUGUAUUCUCCGAAAUGCACUCGAAAUGUGCUUCAUAUCUAAGCAAUAUGACUCAAUAACAAUUAUGAGGUAACAUAAAAAGAAAUGGCUGCACUCAAUUAACUAGGAAGCCAAAAAUAAACAACCUAACUUAGCAGAACUGAAUCACAUACCACAGGUGAUGAUAUCAUAAAUCGCAUAGUUGAGGAAUAGUAGUCAUAAUUUGGACCGGGUGAGAUCUGGCAAACGUGAUCCGGAAGAGGCAAGUCACAUGGACUAAGAGCUGAUAAACGAGCAGGUACCUGCAAUGAUAACCAGAGGACUUAUAAUAAUGCUCAAAACUAAUGCCUUGUGAUGCAUACCCAUAAGGGAAAUAGUAGAAUAAGGUACAGAAGAAAAAAAUUAAAUAAAGAAUGAGUUAAAGAGCAUAAAUAUGUAACAGUAAAAACAGGGAACUUGAUUUUGACAGAAGUCUGUUUUUAACUUGUUAGCUUUACACAAAAUAUGAUAAAAUGUCUGCAAGAUAUAUUUGUUUUAAGAUGAUUCUACAGAAAUAACAGGACAACUCCAAACAAUGUCUUUUCACAUUUGAUGUAGACAAUACAUUUCACUUAUUCCACCGAGAAAAAAUAAAACUUUGUACAUAAUUAACUGACUUUUGUACAGCCAAUGAUUUCCAUCAAUGCCAUAUAGAAUUUUAUAUAGAACAUUCAGACAGUAUGUAUGAUUUGUUUGUGCUUUUAUCUGCCCUGUAAAAUUGAUAAACCAAAAGUCAAAAGUUACCUUUACAUCCAUUGGCAAAGGUAGCCUAACUGAAGAUAAUCUCAACCUUUUCCCUUCUCGAAGAACAAGCACCAUAUGAGUAUCACAGAAAUCAACAUCCUCAACACUAAGACGUGGCUCCUCAAGCACACUCUGUUUAGACAGAAAAAAAAAAGAAAAAGGGUAACAAGUUUUAGAUGCAAUAGUAGGAAUUGCAAGUAUACCUCGAGACUACAUAUUAGAAGCGAAAAGCUAACACAAUGUCAAAAGGGACUAAAAGUUGAAAACUCAGGAAACAAGUUGAAUAGGCCAAAGCAUAUUAUAGACUGAGUACAAGAUUAACCGCCAAUAAGUAGUGAUGGCAGAUCAAACAAAAAGUACAUAUCAGUGAAACUUCUUUUCAUAAUUAGUAAUAUUUUCUCAUAUCUAGUCUGUAACUGUUCACUAAAACCACUGAAUUACAAUAAUGAGAAACUAAGCAAUUUAUCAGAAUAAGAAAAAAUAAAAGCAACUUUCAAAUAACACAACCUGUAAAAUUCUAGCAGAACGUAGAGCAAUUGCUAUCAACUCUAAAGAGUCUUUCGGUGUCAUUGACUGUCCAACUGCCUGCGAUUUGCAAUUUUAGGGUUUUAUACUACUUCCUUUAUAUGAAUAAUAAUUAUUAGGGAGAGGCUACUGGAAACUCUUCAUUUCAGCAUAAAUAAAAUAGUUGUAAACUCCAAAUAAUUAUUUCAUUUCACUAUAGAAGGUAUAACAUAACAGAUGCACAGUGCAAACCUCCCAGUUAUUUGAACUGGAUAAUUCAGCAUUGCGGCGAAGAAGAUAAUGCGAAUCAACAGGCACGCCUCCUCUUGCAGCAUCUGUAAAUAAAUAUAGAUAUCCUCGAUGAUGCUCAAUGAUGCAAUGAGCAUGAGGUUCACAUUCCCAUACUAGCGUCAUACCAGACAAGGGAUCGGAUAAUUUUAUUAAGUAUACCUGCACAAUAAGGAGCCUCUGUUGGACAGACGUGUAAUGACAAUGAAGCUAAAGAGAAUGCACCUAAAAUUGAAUGAUACCUUUGAAGAGAUAUCCGAAAAGAUAUUUACAGUUACAUAGCGAAAAUCCUUUGUGUUUCUAAUGUUUACAUAUACAUUCUCAUCGGGUUCUUCCAAAAUCAAAACAUCAUUCUUAUCAGAUCCAAGAACGCUACAAAAGAUCCUAUGGAAAGAAAAAUCCUCAAUAGCACCACAACUAAAAAGAAAGGAGGGAAAAUGACACAAACAGUAAACCUACUAACCGAUAUGGCCUUUUAUCAUCAUUUGUAACUGUGUAGAGUAAUGCUUGCCCAUUCAUCGCCCAUGACAGGUUUGCAACCCGAUCAGCACGCGGUUUGUCGCAAAGUGUGCCUGUCGUCAAAUCCCUCACAGAUAACGUAAAGGAGUCUUUAUCCUUGUCAUACAUAGUAUAUGCAAUAUAGCGGUGAUCUGGAGACACUUCAGAUAGUUCCUCGUAAGAGUAUCCUGUGCAGUGAGCAAACAACAAAAUGUCUAACACGUCUUAGGUUGGUUAUGAAAUACUUUGAUGAAAUUCUAAAUAAUAAUGCCUUGCGAAGUACUAGCGAAAGAGGAGCAUCAAAAAAGGAAACUUUUUUCACCUCCAAAACAUUCGGCUUCAUUAUAAAGGAGGCAUGAAAAAGAUACUUUUUACUCAUUUUCAACAAAUAGUUCCUUUUUUUUUUCCUGAGUGCUUGCUUGGACUAAGUAUAUAAUGCUCCAGCCAUAUCAGAUAGGGCUCAAUACUCACAACUAAAGUUAAGAUUUUGUUCAUAUUUUCAAAAUUCUACAGCCGAAUAGCGAAAGAGGAACAUCAAAAGAGGGAGCUUUUCCCUUUUCUCACCUCCGAACCGCUCGGCCUCUUGAUUGUAAUCGAUAAGCUUCUGCUCGAUCCGCUUCCCGGAGGUGAAAUCGAAGCCCGCGGAGGGCUCGCUGUAGGAGAUGAACUCCUGGUGGAGGGUCGCGGAUCUGCGGCAGAGCACAGGGUACUGCUUGCCCUCCUCGACGCGGCGGUAGUAGAGCCAGGGCCCCCACCGGACGGGGGGAGUGGAGAGCUCGGAGGCGAGGCGCGGGGCCAUCUCGAUCUGGAGCUUGCGCACGAGGCGAUCGGCGCCCGCGGCGGCCAUGGCGGCCUCCGCGUACUUCUCCUCCUGCUCCAUGUAGACGUCCAUGUGGCGCAUCGCCACGGAGUCGGAGAGCGACGACAUCCAGCUGUAGGGGUCGUUCCACGUGACGCCAUGGACGGUGAAGGGGACCGGCUUCUGCGGGGGCUUCGGAGGUGUCGGCGGCGGCGGCAGCGGCGGCGGCGGAGAGGUGCGGGGCUUUGUGCCCCGGCGGUGGAGGAGGCGGCGGAGGAGGAAGAGGGGGAAGGGGUUGCGCGAGGCUUCGAGGGAGGAGGAGAGGCGGAGCAUCGGAGAUGGGGUUCCGGGGGUGGAGUAGGAGGAAGGAACUAGGGUUUAGGGUGAAGGGUUUUGCAGAGAAAUGAAUGAUGCUCGGGCUCGGGAUCGGGUUCGGGUUCGGGCUCGCACUAGUACACGUGAUGGGACUUAGCCCCUAUUUGCAAAGGCCCAAGCCUUUUUAGGAGUAAAAAAUGGAGCACGCCACUAUUGGGCACCAAGCCCAUAUGGAAAUGCAUGGGCCGCAUUAUCGGGCCUCGCUGAGUAACGAAUUUGUAUUACGAGAGUGCACUCCCUGAUACGAUCACCUAACAAGCUUCGUCGUAAAGUUAACAAUUUAUUGCUGCAUCGAAAACAAAGAGCUACAAUUAUUGGAGUUACAACUUUGGGUUGGCUCUGAAAAUUACUUGGGCUUCUCAUCACAGCGUAAGAUUGCAUUAUUACUUGCUGAGUACUUCGUUUGGAGCUCGCUCUAAAAGUGUAGCUAGAUAGCCAAUGAAUAUUAUACUAUUAUUACAUAUUUCUAUCCUGUUCAAGGAAAAACAUUUCUCAAUUUUUUCAAGGAUUUCCCCCAAGGAUACACACAAUGUGGCCUUAGUACACUGAUGAGCUCAAGAUAUAGCUGAGGAUUUGAGCUUGGUUGGAAAGACAAAAAUAAUUUCUACUUGUAAACAAGAUGAUGAUUCACAUAAUACCCCCAAAAAAGGAAUUACUAACUGGCUACAAAAGUAAAUAUAGUUCCACAAUUUGACAGGGAAAAAAGGAAUUAUGAAUUUAGUAACUGGAAUCCGAACUGGGAAAAUGCCAAGUUUAUCAACAUGACAACAAAUUAUUCAUCAAACUGUCCAACUUUCCCAGCUACAAGACCAUCCCAGAAGUCACCAGACGAACGACGAGAAGACUAUUCCCUCGAUUUAAUACAAAGGGAUCAUCCAUCAAUCAACUGUAUUCAAGUACCUGUGUAGUGAGAGGAAAGCUUUUAAGUACCUCAAAUAUUAGAUGGCGAAAAAGUUUUACAUCAGAAUUAGAAACACAAGCAGAAGAGAACAACAACAACAACAAAAAAUUGAGUGAAAUUCAUUAUCUUAAUCAAAAUCUGAAAAUUAAGCUUCUUGAACUGAAUGCCAAUGUUGAUCUGUCCUUGAUAAUCUGGAUGGGUGAUAGUUAAACAAUCUGCAUACCUUCUUCCUAUGUUCGGCAUUUAGGUGGGGCCUGCACCAGCUAAUCAUCAUGGCGCUUUAAAGACUGUCUUAGUUGUAAUUUGUAAGUUACAUGUAUGACAGAUAUUAGUGACAAUAUAAAUUUGAAUUCAAAAGUUUGGCAGAUUUGAAAGAUGAUGUGAUUUUCUUUCUUUUCAUGCUAACCUGACAAACCAGUAGCUUGCAUACGUUUACAAAGUUGAACAUUCCUGAUUUUUCUUGUGUCCUGUUGAACAUACAAAGAGGGCAUAUCGCCCUUGAUAUUCCUGUAUGUUUUACUAUCGCUUCUAUAACAUUUACAUCAUGAAGUUAUUGUUCCUUUUGAUAAAUUUUGUAUGGAGCUAUCUUUUACUUCCGGAGUAAAAAGGAAAAAAGGUUACAGACAGCAGCAUUUUUGUUAACCUGAUGGUUUAUGUACUCAAUAUAUUUCCGCUAGAAAGGGCAAGCAUCCAACAGUUUCUAACGUAAGCAAAAUAUUCUGAAAGAAGCACGUAAGAAAGUACAUGCAGAUAUUUGUAGAAAUGGUUAUUCACAUUCACUUUGAUUAUUCUAUUCAUUUCAUUUACGAACAAAAGCAACAAAACUUCUUGAAACUCGGACAGCAAUGUCCGACAACAUUCCAUUCAAGUAAAUGUCUAAGUUCCAAUAUAUGAUAUGAAAGAAUGUUUAUAAGAAAAAAAGCACAACAAAAGGAAAAUAAAUGCAUUCCCAAACAAACAUGACAAAAAUUGCACAGCAUAGCAAUGAGUACUCGUAAAGUAAAACAUUAUAUUUGACGAAUUUAGAUGCAGUGGAUAGUAACCUUAGUGACUUCUCUUGUCAAAUACUCGAAUCAUCAUUUGCCUUUUCUAUGACUUCCUUCAAAUACAAAUUCCUAAGCUGUUUAAUGUGGGAAAAGCAACAAAGAAAGAAAGAAAACCUACAGCAUUAUUAGCCGAAGGAUUUCCACCGGAUGAUGUCCACUUUCUCGCAUCAACCAUCUUUGCAACUUUUCCCUAUCAAAUCCCAAUUCCAAUUUCCUCAUAUCAACCAAAAACCCAACUUUUAUAACAACAUACCAUCUAAACAACACGAUAAACGCCAUAUAUAAUCAUCGAAUCAGAAACUUGAAGCAUCUACUGGUUAGUAUUUUUGUUCAUUUUGAUAAAUUUAGCAUACUAACACAACCAAAAUGCUCGUGAGUCUAAGAAACAGGAGAUGAUAACAAGAGAUCUUAACAGGUGAAAUGGAAUUUACCCUGAGAGAGCUCACAACACGCCCUCGCGGCGACCGAGAGGUGCGAGGUGAGGCGGGGAAGGGUCACCGCGCUGUGGAGCGGUAGGAGCGACUGAGUACAACCCAAUGCUCCCAAGGGCCUACGGAGAACUCCAUUUCAGAGAUCGAAAAGAGCAUUUUGAAUUAGGGUUAGGGUUUGGGUUUGGCUCGAGGCUAGGGUUUUUACCUCGGAGAGGAGAAGCGGCGGUGGGGGAGGCGAGGGGCGGAGACGGGAGGAGAGCGGAGGCGAGAGGCGGUGGGAGGGGAUCGGAGCGAGGACGCGGCGGAUCGCGCGGUGGCGAGGAGGGAUCGCGAGAUCGGAGCACGAAACGCCAUUUUUGGAGAGGGGAGAGGGGGAAGAUAAAGGACAAGGAGAAGCGGGGGGUUUAGGGUUUGUCGACUGUCUGUACGGGCCCCUUAACGGGCUUGCAUUUGGGCCCAAUUUACGGGCCCUGCUUAUGGCCCUCUUCGGCCUGUUUUUAGUGUUUUGAAUUACUAUACUGAACACUUUUGUAAGUGGUUUUUUAAGGCUUUUUCAAUUAGACUUUAAAAUUUGAUAAAACUAAUAUUAUACCAAGUUUCAUGGUAAUUUGGAUAAUACAUUACAAUUAAUAAUUAAUCCCUUCAAAAAGUAGAUGAGAGUAGAAUCUGUAUUCUUUAUUACACUGCUUGGAAAGUUGAAUACUUCAUGAUUUAUUUAUUUUUUUUAAUAAUAUAAUUUUAAAAAGUGGACAUGCUACUACUAAAAUUAAAAUUAACCUCCACAUAUCAAAAUGGAAUUAGCUCACUUUGAGGGAUUGAAGAAUGUGGACCUCACUAGACCAAUCAGCUGGGUUCAAUUGGGAACCUCAAGUUCUCUUGGCCACACCAUUAAAACUGACCAUCAUGUCAAUAAAAUUAAAAUAAAUAAAUAAAUAAAAUAAAAUAAAAGGAUAAAAUCCUCAACCUCAACCAACCACACUCUCCCUCACCUUAUCCAAAUACCAACUCCUCCUCUCUCCUAUACAAAACUCCCUCUUUCCCCCCUCUAUACUCUCUCAUCCUUACUCUUCAACAAGACAACACACAAAGCAGUAAACACCAGGUAAUUGAUCCAAACCAUGUUCUACACUAGUGCAAUUCACCCUCAGAUUACUAGAUUCUCCUUUGCAUUGCAGGCUCCCGCGGAAAGCAGCAAUGGCGGCGAUCCCCGCGACGGUCAUCUCCGCCUCCGUCGCGAGCCAUGCGGCGGCUAAGAGGAAGUCCGGGGCCGCGUACGUCGAGGGCAUGAAUGCUUUCGGGGGGCUCAAGGCGCAGACCGGAGUUUCGUCCCUCGGCAUGUCGAGGAGCACCGAGCAGUCGUUCGCGACGAUCGUCAGCUCCCUCAGGCAGUCGGUGCAGAAGAAGAAGAAGGGCGGCGGGGCGCUGUCGUCGACGUGCAACGCGGCGGGGGAGAUAUUCAGGAUCGCCGCCAUCAUGAACGGGCUCGUGCUCAUCGGCGUCGCCAUCGGGUUCGUCCUCCUCCGAGUGGAGGCGGCGAUCGAGGAGUCCGAGUAGAACUAGGAUUAAACAAAAGUACUUGAGAAUUGCAUCAUGUUUUGUACUUUUUGUUUAUGUUAUAUGAACUAUAAAUUGUUUUGAAUUUGUACUAUGAUUGGUUGCAUACUCUGAAACAAGCCUUUUAAGUUGAGAAGUGUUUUGAGUUCCUGAUUCAUUUAUAGACUUAAUAGAUUUGUAUGAGUAACAAACAUAGGGGGUGAAAAGAAUGAUCAGAUAAAAGAGGCAAAAUAAGAAUGUUACAGAGAUUGUACAUAAAGAAAUUCAGAUUGUUGGUAACUGCAAAGCAAACUUACUGCUGAGAAGCAAUUACAGAUUGUAGGAAAACAUGUCUACAAAUCAGCAGAAUAUAAUGAACUCAAAAGUGUUUCAUGAGAAAACAAGCCUACAAAUUGUUCCUGGACUACCGCAUCUCAGUUCAUUUAAAUGCCCUAAUUGUUCAUCAAAUUAUAUGAAAGCAAAAAAUGUUGGCUAGAAGGGGCCAACAUCAUAUCUUGCGGCGAAAGUUGGAUUAGGUCGAGGCAUAGUCGAUGCCCUACAUGCUACGUAGCAGGAGCCAUAUUAUAAAUUAAGAUCCGUAGAUAUUGUAUCUAUACAUUUUAAGUAAAUAAGUUGUGUUUUUUUCAAUAAUUUGAGAGUUUUGAGUUAAUGGUUCAUGUCAACGCUCGACACAAACAGAUCACACACAGAGUUUUUACAGCAGAUUCACAUCUUCAAUACUUGCGGCAAUGGGAUAACACACACCCCCCACACCAAAAGAGAGAGAAGGGGUUGGAAGAACCCGAGCUUAAUGGGCGGGGCUGUAAAUUUGGGCCUCAUUGAGGUUAAUUUUAAUUUUGUGAAUAGGUGGACCAAGAGGCCCAUUUAGAUCCUACUCUAAGGUAGCGUUUGGUUGGGAAACAAGGAGGGGAAUAAGCCCGUUCCCAAACGCUGCGUUUGGUAUCCGAGAUUGGCAUCCGAAAACAGUAGUCCUCGGAUUUCUGGAAUAAGCCGAUAUAAGGAUAAAACUGUUGUUCCACCUUUUUCCUGGAACAAGCUUGUUCCCAGGUGAUAAUUAGGUUAAUUAAAGUCUAAAAAUAAUUUUAAUUAUAAUAUUAAAUAAUAUAUAAUUUAAUUAAUAUAUUUAAAUUAUUAUUUAUUACUAAAAUAAUAAAUUAAUUUAUUUAUUUAUUAUUUAAUUAAAUUAUUAUUAUUUAUAAAUUAUUAAUAAUUCAUUUAUUUA